RNAcentral lists this long non-coding RNA (58348 nucleotides) under Populus trichocarpa (black cottonwood). RNAcentral describes it as "long non-coding RNA (PTRI_LNC001249)". The stretch from base 30928 to 31082 matches the Rfam family "MIR2912 microRNA precursor family". Lineage: Eukaryota; Viridiplantae; Streptophyta; Magnoliopsida; Malpighiales; Salicaceae. The record is from RNAcentral.
AAGAGUAUCAGUAGCCAGAAAGUGACAAACAGCCGGUCCUGGUUUAAUUUUGAGAACUUCAAAGGCCAUAUGGUCAGGACUCCAAGCUGAUGUGUUCAGGUGGCAUACGGUUACCGCUUUCACUUCUGCGCCACCAGCAGCGAUUAAUGGAACCACAUAAACCUCUGUACCUUCGAUUACAUGGCAAUAAUGUACUGCAUAAGGAUAUCUGAUCUUAUGACACACCGCUGCUUUAUGUUCUCCCCUCAUUUCCGCUUUUGCCGAAACAGUAUACUCUUGCUUCUUGCCUGGUUCAGUUGAGAGUACCUGAACAUUUUGGCCAAGCCUCGCAACAUUAAAAUCAAUUAAUGACUCUAGAGAUGUAGCACAAUAUUUUUCUUCUCCUUCCAUGUUCGGGCUCUCGCAAUUUCCUAUUUCAUCACUGAUAAUCUGAGCCUCUUUUGAGUUGACUUGUAGAGAAAAGUACUUCAAAAUCUCCGGAAAUUCGUCACUUGAAAAUGGUAUAGACUCUGCGACUCGACGAGGCAAGAAACUAACCUUGGUUCCACUGUUAGUAAAAAGCAAUUUCAUCUUUUUACCUGGAUGGAGAUCGUUGUACAAGUAGAAUAUUUGUGAGUCGGGGAUAGCAGAUUUUGCGGGUUUUUUAUGGCUAUCUACCCCAUAGUGUUUUUCCAUAUUUUUCACGAUCAUCAACGCUAAUUUUUUGGCCAUUAGCGAAAUCUCUGAUCACUGAAGGAUAAUAACCGGUUGGAGAGUAUCUCGAAUCGUCUCGGCUACGUGAUCGCACUUAGGCUGACCAGACCCUUCUCAGUGGGUGGAGAAUUAUCGCCCGGAAGGCCGAAGCUGGGCACUUCGGCUGGUAAAUGGACAGCAGUGGAAAAGGAAACGUAGAGGGGGAGAGUUAGAAAGAGGAUCAGGAAUGGAGCACCAGAAAUGGCUGGAGACAUUUUUUAAAUAAGUAGAUUGAUGAUUGAUCGAGGAUAGUGACGUAGAGAGCUGAGGGACGUUAUUUAUAGGGAGGGGGGAGGGGAGAGGGGCAACGUUUGCAUAUUACUUUAAUAAUUAAAUCAAUAUUUUUUUUUUAAAGAAAAAAAAAAGUUAAAAGGUUUGGUGACUUCAUUAAUGCAGCAUCUUUUCAUAUAAAUAUUGUUUUUUAUUUUUAAUAAUUUCAUUUUACCAUUUAUUUAUUUUUAAUUGCAUCCUUAGAAAAUCGCUACACGUAUUAUUUAAGGAAAUAUUGCAAUAAUUAUUGCAGAGAUUAUCUUCUAUAACCAGCACCAAUAAAUCCUAUAUAUAUGGUAUUUUAUAUUGCAGUGAUUAUUUUCUAUAACUAGCACGAAUCAAAUCAUAUAUCUAUGGUAUUUUAUAUUGCAGUAAUUAUAUAUGAUUCAGUAAUUAUCUCCUUGACAUAUUGCUUCCUUAAUAUUAGCCUUGAUGCUAUAUGUUAUCGCCACAUGUAAACCCUUAUUAUUAUUAUUAUUAUUAUUAUUAUUAUUAUUGUAUUGAAAAUAUAUCAAAAUAUGGGUAAAAAAUUGGGUAGCAACAGACCCUCCUCUUUACAAUGCUUAUGAAGCAAAACUCCUCAAUGUUUUGCAUAGUAAGCUUGUAAAGAAAAAAAAAAUCUUCUUUGCUUGCUGAGUGAUCCACUCAAUCAAGGACUUCACUUUAUAAUAGAAAAUGGUCUCAUUAUCAUGGGUGACUUGUCCCUUUAAAAAAAAAAAAAAAAAACUGGUCUAUUUUCACGGGCAACCUGCCCACACACACUCAAACCUAGUCUAUUUUCAGGGGCGACCUACCCACAUACUCACGCUGGUCUAUUUUCACGGGCGACGUACCCUUUUGAUUGGGUUAACCUAAGAUCCCAUCUGGCGAUCUCCUUUAACCCGAAGCAAAGUCGGUGUGUAACUCGGUCAACCUGAAAUCCCAUCUGGCGAUUCCCUUUAACCAAAGCUAAACUAUGUGUGUGGUUGAUCUAGCGAUUCUCUUUAACCAAAACUAAACUCUGUGUGUGGUUGGGUUAACCUGAGAUCCCAUCUGACGAUCUCCUUUAAUCCGAAGCAAAGUCGGUGUGUCGCUCGGUUAACCUGAAAUCUCAUCUGGCAUUUCCUUUAACCAAAGCUAAACUCUGUGUGUGGUUGGGUUAACCUGAGAUCCCAUCUGGCGAUCUCCUUUAACCACAACCAAUACAACAAUGUGUGUGUGGUCUCAUUAUGAUGGGUGACCUACCCAAAAUGAAAGAUGGUCUCAUUAUAACGGGUAACCUACCCAAGUGGAAAACAGGAAGAGGGGUCUCAUUCUUAUGGGAGACCUGCCUAGGGGAAGAAUGACCUCAUUAUAAUGGGUGACCUACCCAAGUAAAAAAAGAUGGAGAAUGGUCUCCUUCUAAUGGGUGACCUACCCAGAUGGAAAAUGAUGGUCUCAUUAUGAUGAGUGACCUACCCAAGUGGAAAAGGGGAAGAGUGGUCUCAUUCUUAUGGGUGACCUACCCAGGGGAAGAAUGACCUCACUAUAAUGGGUGACCUACCUAGGUAAAAGAAAAAAUGGAGAAUGGUCUCAUUCUAAUGGGUGACCUACCCAGAUGGAAAACGAUGGUCUCAUUGUGAUGGGUGACCUACCCAAGUGGAAAAGGGGAAGAGUGGUCUCAUUCUUAUGGGUGACCUACCCAGGGGGAAGAAUGACCUCAUUAUAAUGGGUGACCUACCCAGGUAAAAAAAAAGAUGGAGAAUGGUCUCAUUCUAAUGGGUGACCUAUCCAGAAAAAAAAAUGAUGGUCUCCUUGUGAUGGGUGACCUACCCAAGUGGAAAAGAGGAAGAGUGGUCUCAUUCUUAUGGGUGACCUACCCAGGGGGAAGAAUGGCCUCAUUAUAAUGGAUGACCUAUCCAGGUAACAAAAAAAUGGAGAAUGGUCUCAUUCUAAUAGGUGACCUACCCAGAAAAAAUGGUGGUCUCAUUAUAAUGGAUGACCUACCCAGGUGGAAGAUGAUGGUCUCAUUAUGAUGGGUGACCUACCAAGAUGUAAGAGAAAAGGAUUUUAGAAAGGGGUCAUAAUAUCUGGAGACCUGCCCGUUUAAUUUAUUUUUUUUUUGAAAAACUCCACGCUUUUUCUAAGGAAUGGUCUCAAUAUCGGAUGACCUUCCUAUUUAAAAAUUCUUUUAGACAAAUUCCAUGCUUUUUCUAAACAAUGGUCUCAAUAUCGGGUGACCUGCUCAUCUUAAUAUUUUUAGAAAUACUCCAUGUUUUUUUAAAAUUGUCUCAAUAUCGGGUGACCGGCCCAUCUUAAGUUUUUAAGAAAAACUCCAUUUAUUAUUAUUAUUAUUAUUAUUAUAUAGAAAAACUCCACGCUUUUUUUUCUCUCUUUUUUUGGUCUCAAUAUUGGGUGACCUGCCCGUUUUGAAUUUGAAAAGAAAUUAUCUUACCUCGAGGAAUGAAGCAGUGCUGGUUCACAAUUCAUAUUCUUUUCCGUAGUUCCGUUGACCUGAGAUUCUGUAUCUCAACGAUUCCCAAAAACUUGGAACUAUUUGGCUUUUGUCACACCUUUCCUGCCAGGUUAGUGUUAUGAUAAUAUAGCAUGCAUGUUUUUGUUUAUCUAUUUUUGGAAACAUAGGUCCCCCUUUUCGUUGUAGCCUUCUUCGAGCUCCUGUUUCCAUUUGUUUGCCAACUUAUCCUCUUGAACUGGAAUAUGCUUCACGCGCUAUAUUUCCUAUCCUUCUUAUGCUUGGUGAAGAGAUCUCUAGUUCCUUAUGGGGCCCUUUCUUGCUCCAUUGAAUGUUGCUUUGUAGCAUACUUUUGUCGAUGUUUUAAUUGCCUUUUCCAUUUUUGAGAAAUUAUUUUUAAUAGGAAAUCUAAAAAACUUUGGUUUUGUUCAUAAAAACUAAAACUUUUAAUGCAAUCAUUUCUCAUAAAGGUGCUUCAGAGGUUUUUUUAUGAUGAUAUCCCUUUAAUGUUGGGCUUUGGUUCACUAUGUACCCCUAUGUGCACUUCGUGCACUUCUUGCUCCUAGUGUGGUGUGCAAAAAUAUGUCAAGUUUAGAUUUGGUUUGGUUCUCUCCAAUUGAUGGAGUCAUCUCCUUAGUCAUGUGUAAAAAAAAAGUUCUUUUAAGUAAAAGAUUUCAAAUGCUAUGAGAUCAUACGUUUUAUGAAGAAAAGAUUCUUUACAAAGAGAAUUCAUGGCCGAACUUUAUUUUAUUGACCGGGAAGCAUAGUAUUUCUUUAUAGAGUCAUCAUUCAUAGGUUUAACUAGAUCUUCUCCAUCCAUUCUAGAUAACAAAUAAAGCUCCUCUCGAGAACAUUUUCUUUAACAUGUAAGGGCCCUCAUUGUUUGGCGCCCAUUUACUUUGAUCCUCUCCUAGUAAAGGCAAUAUUUUCUUCAGUACAAGAUCUCCUUCGUUUAAUCCUCGAGGCCGGACAUUCUUAUCAUAUGUUUGACCAUUCUUCUUUGGUAUAGUUGAUGAUGAUAGAUUGCAACUAUUUUCAUUAAUCAGAUUUAAUUAUUCAUAUCUAACUUUUACCCACUCUACCUCUUCUAGCUCAAAGUCUAUCAAUACUUUUAAUGAGGGGAUUUCAACUUCUAAAGGCAUCACCGCCUCCAUUCCAUAUACCAACAUAUACGGGGUGGCUCCUAUUGAGGUUCGGACUUCGGUGUAGUACGCGUGAAGGGCCAAUGGCAACAUCUCAUGCCAAUCCUUGUAGGUGAAUAUCAUCUUCUGAAUAAUCUUCUUGACAUUCCUGUUAGCAACUUCUACCCUUUUGAUUGGGUUAACCUACGAUCCCAUCUGACGAUCUCCUUUAACCCGAAGCAAAGUCGGUGUGUAACUCGGUCAACCUGAAAUCCCAUCUGGCGAUUCCCUUUAACCAAAGCUAAACUCUGUGUGUGGUUAGGAUAACCUGAGAUCCCAUCUAGCGAUCUCCUUUAAUCCGAAGCAAAGUCGAUGUGUCACUCGGUUAACCUGAAAUCCCAUCUGGUAUUCCCUUUAACCAAAGCUAAACUCUGUGUGUGGUUGGGUUAACCUAAGAUCCCAUCUGGCGAUCUCCUUUAACCACAACCAAUACAAAAAUGUGUGUGUGGUCUCAUUAUGACGGGUGACCUACCCAAAAUGAAAGAUGGUCUCAUUAUGACGGGUAACCUACCCAAGUGGAAAAGGGGAAGAGUGGUCUCAUUCUUAUGGGUGACCUACCUAGGGGUAGAAUGGCCUCAUUAUAAUGGGUGACCUACCCAGGUAAAAAAAGAUGGAGAUUCAUUGUCAACCUCUUCAAAGUCUUCUUGUCGAUUUUGGAUGCCCCCAUGGGAUACGUCUGGUUUUGGAUGAAAUUCUUGAUAUCAUAGUACCAAGGGUGUAUUUCUCUUUCAACUGAGCAACAAUGAGCUGGGUUAUUUCUGAUAUCAAUGUGUACCGACUGUACCUUGUGCCCAAAGUCUAUUCUAGCCAUAGAAGCUAGCGUGACCAAAACGUUAGCAAACUGGCUUUCUUCCCUUCCUAGAUGGGUGAAUUCUAUUUCCUCAAAGUCUCCGGCAAAUUUACACAAGUAUUCCUUAUAAGGCCUUAACUUCUCUUCCUUGGUUUUUCAUUCUCCUUUUUACUUGGCAAAUUAUCAACAUUGAGUCUCCAUACACAUCUAUCUUUAUGAUGUUUAGCUCCAAUGCAGCCUCUAAAACUGAGAAUGCAAGCUUCGUACUCAGCUGUGUUGUUAAUGCACCCAAACUACAACUUAAAUGAAAUCGGAUAAUGUUUCUUAUCAAAAGAGAUUAGCACUGCCCUCACUUCAUUACCAACAACACCAUCAAAGUACAUAAUCCAUCAAUCUGAUUUCCCUUCCUCGACUGAAAGCACAUCUUCAUCAGGAAAAUCAAAUUUUAACGGCUCAUAAUCUUCCAUAGCAUGGCCAGUUAGGUGAUCGGCGAUGACAUUCCAUUUUAUGGCUUUCCUUGUCAUAUAUACUAUGUCGUACUCAGCCAGUAGAACUUGCCAUUUUUUCAAUUCGGCUUGAUAGAUAGGGGUGGAUUCAGUAGGUACUGCUUGAUUUUCUUGAAAGCUUUUUCACACUCUUAUUCCAAAUUCCAAGAUUCUUCUUCCUUAACAAUUGAAGAUUGGGUCACAAGUCAUGGUUAAUUGGGAUAUAAACCGAGCAAUGUAAUUCAACCUUCCCAAGAACCUUCUUACAUCCUUCUCAGUCUUGGGAGUUGGCAUAGAUUGAAUAGUCUUUACUUAACUAUGGAUCCACUUCUAUCCCUUUAUCACUCACCAAAAUCCUAACAACUUCCCAGAUUUCACCCCGAAUGAACACUUUGCAUGGUUAAGCCUCAACUUAUACUUCCUUUAGUCUUUCAAAUAAUUCCUUCAAUAUUUGGACAUGACUCUUUUCCUUUUUAGAUUAGCAGUCAUAUUAUCCAUGUAUACCUCAUUCUCUUUAUGCAUCAUGUCAUGAAAUAAAGUCAUUAUGGCCCUUUGGUAGGUGGCCCCGACAUUCUUUAACCCAAAUGGCAUGACCUUGUAACAAAAGGUUCCUUAUGGUGUUACAAAUGUUGUCUUCUUCUUAUCUUCUUACACCAUUUUUAUCUGAUUGUAGCCCGAAAAUCCGUCCAUAAAGGAAUAUGUGGAGCUACGUGCUGCAUUGUCAAACAUGUCUAUGUGUGGUAGACAAACCUUGAUUUUAUCUUCCUUUUUUGGUACAACCACUAUGUUGGACACCCAUUAUGGAUAUUUGACUACUUCUAAAAAAUCGGUGUUCCACUGCUUUUCAAUUUCUAAUUUUACUUUAAUUAAGACAUUCGGAUUGGUCCUUCUCAACCUUUGCUUAACCGAUUUGCAUCCUAUACCAACCAAGCAUAUCCUUAUAGGACCAGGCAAAAACAUCUACAUAAUCUCGGAGUAGUGCAAUCAACUCUUCUCUUUCUUUAAGGGUGAUCAAAGUCCAUAUCUUUAACUCUCUCUUAAUUUCUUCAUCGCCCACAUCUAUGGUUUCAAGCUCCUCUCUAGCGGGUUUCCAAGCUUGUUCAUGUUGUCUUAUUAAUUUUGUGAAUUCCCUAAUGUUAUUUUUCUCUCAUUCUUCCUCUUCUACAACUAAUAUGUAUUCUUUAAAGUUCGGCCAUUCAUUCUCAGUGUAGAGUACAGGUGUUGUUAUGGAAGAUCCGCUUUGAAAACGGAAAGUGAUGUGUGAAAACAUCAAGAUGAACUUUUGAAAAUGCAUGAUCUCAUUAAAAGGAAAAGUUUGGCUAAAAAAAAACAAGGAUAAAAUCCAAUUGACAUUUGGAACCUUGAUUUAAAAAGGUGAAAAGAAAAACAACACAAUAUCAUGAUCAAACAAGCAUUAUUGAUUAAAUUUUGAACACCAAUGGAGCUUCUUGGGUCUCCUAAUUCUGGAACAUCUCUCCCUUAGCUAGCUUUUGAAUGAAGGUUUUGAGAUUCAAGAUGCUUUGAGCUUAGGCUUGUUUGGAUGCAAAAAGAUAUUAUGGAGCAUACAUCCUAAGGAUAGAUUCUAGUUCCUUUAUGUGAGACAUUGGGUAGGUUUACUACUUGGUCUCUAAAGAGGGUCUCUAGUUGUCCCAGUGAUCACCCUCGUAAAGGCAAUAUAGGGGCUCAACAGAUAGUGGGAUGGAACGUAUACCAAUCACUACCAGUCUAAGCACUCAGCAAAGAGUUGGGGUUUACACAAACUUAAACCUUGACUCAAGUCAUAAGGCAUGUUGUUACCCAAUUUUUGACCCACCUUUUUGAUAAAAGUUUCAAAAAAAUCCAAAAUAGCGAAAAACAACGAAAAUCCAAAAAAAUAUGUUUUUAAUAUAUUUGCAUCGUUUUUAGUAUUUUCAACUUCGUCUAAAAAAGAAUUUAAAUUUUCAAAGGUUUUUGGAACGUGUUCGACUUUUCACGCAUCAUUUUUAAAAUCAUUGAUUUUCCUCAUUGAGUCAACGUUGAUAUUGCUCGUUUUCAAAAAAUACAAAAAAAUUAAGAAAAAUCAAAUUUACAAAAAAAAAUAAAGUUGAGGGACCAAUUUUGAGGCCCAAACAACAUUUUACCUAUAAAUAUGAGUCCACAACUCACACAAAAGGAGAAGUAAUUUUGCACAUUUGAGAAAAACACAAAAAAACCCUAACCUAAACCUAUCUCUUAAAAAAACCAAAGCCGCAGCCUCCCCCUAGCUGGAAUUGUUUUUCUCUUCCACACCGUAGCCCUAUUUUCUUCUUCCUUAGCCGCUCCCUUUCCCCAGCCGCAACCUCUACUUUUGGAUUUUUUGCCUUCAUCCCCUACACCCGAAAACCCCCAACUCCCUUUUGUUUUCCCCUCAGCUGACCGAAACCUUCAGCCUUCCACCAUCUCUUUCCCCCACAGACAAACCAACCCAACUCCUCCACAAUACAGACCCAGCUCCUCCAUCCAACAGCCCCGCAACCAUCACCAAAUUCCCUCUCCUAAAACCACAACUUCCCAGCCUCCCUUCACACAGGCCUUCCUCUCAACGUCGUGCUUCUCAUCUCUCGACCGACCCAGCUUUCUCUCCUUCACCCGACCUCCAGCAGCGGCAGUUUCUGCCCACAGUCGACAGACCCAACUUUCUCUCCUUCACCCGACCUCCAGCAACGGCAGUUUCUGCCCACAGCUGACAGACCCAGCUUUCUCUCCUUCAACCGACCACAAGCAGCACCACAGAACCGCCUUAUCUCCCCCGACCAGAGAACGGGCAGAGCCAUUCCCCAUCUCUUCAGACCCACGGCUCCCUAUUCAACCAGCAGUUCUUUCCUUCCUCAGCCGCCGUGCACACCGGCCAGCGGCAGCCCUUUAUCCUUCAGCGGCGCCCACAGAAGCAGCCCCACUUCCAACCGAGAACUGACGGUCGGAUCUGCAACCAGCAGAGAGCAACGAACCUAGAGAAAGAGAGAAGCCAGAAGAGAUCAAAUAAAAAAAAGGGGGGAAGAACCGAGACUUUGCUUGCAGUUUUUUCUUCUUUGCAGGUGACGUUAUUCCUACUGCCAAUGCAGAAGGGAAGAGGAGACAGAGUCUAGCCGGAUCCACCAGUUGUUUGGGGUUGUCUGUGGCAGCGCGUGGAACAGAUGCGCCGCCACGGGUCCUGCAGUUCCAGAAGUGUUCCUCUACAAUUCCUGAAUUUUUUAGGGGCUAUUUUGUAAAUUUGAAAUUGUGUGAUGUAAUUUUUGUUUAGUUGUUUUGAAUUUGUAUUUUGAAAUGUGGAUCUAAAAAAAAACAAAAGAAAAGAAGAAGGAAAAAAAUAUAGUAAAAGUGUAUGUGUGUGUUUGUAUGCUUUUUAUGGAUGUUUUUUUAUGAUAAAAUUGCAAAGAUUAAAGAAGAAUUUAAUAUUUUGAUUUGCUCAUGGUCAAGAAUUAUGAACUUACACAUAAGUCGUAUUUCUAAUAUCCGAUGAAAAGAAAAAAAAUUUAAAACUUCUUUAACACAUCAAAGCCACGAAGCAGCUUACCUCAGGUAGGGUGCGUUAGGGGUUCUAAUACCUUCCCUAACCACAACCAGUCCCUUACUCGUGAAUCUUUGACAAGACCAGUACACUAGGGUUUCCUAGUAACCCUCAAUAAAUACUAGGUGGCAACUCCCAAAGAAAGAAAUCAAUCAAUCAAAAUCGAAAAAUCGCCAACCGAUGUCGUGCGAGUGACGUGCGACAUAAUGACAACUCCACUAGGGAAGGUACUGUUUCUGACAAUACUGGAUUAAGCUUUGUGUAUUUGAUGUGUUUAAGUUUUUUGCAUUUUUGUCUUGUUUUAUUUUUGUUUUAUCCAUGCAUUUUUAGAAUUGUUUCAUGCAUCACCUGUAUUUAUUUUUGAAAGCACACACAAGCUUCUAAGUUAGGUGGUGAAUUAACGAUCUGCCCUAUGACUAUUGGUCAGGGUUCAGAUACGUGAAAAACCUAACUCAUAUCUGAGUGUCUGCUUGGUAAUGAUGGGUAUACGUGCCUUAACCAUUUCUUGCAACGCCCCUAUAUUGUCUUUACGAAAAUCAUCACUGGGCAGAUAUGAGACCCUUUUGAGACCAGGUAGAAAACCUACACAUGUUCACAUAAUGAAUAGAACCUGUUCUUAGGUUGUAUGUGCUAUUUUUAUUUGCAUCAGGGCAAACCCUUCUUGAAGCAUCUUGAACUCAAGACUUAUGGGUGACACAAUGACCGUCACGCAGAAAAUUUUCAUUGUAGAGUUUGGGGCAAGAAUCAAGAUUCUUGCUUCAUCAUGCAAGAGUUACGAUCAUAUGUCACCCCUCGAAGGGCGAGUUCAUCAUAUAGACUACAUGUUCAUACAUUUAUCAUGCAUGCACCGAGAUGAAAAGUAGGUCCCCUACAAGUCUGCAACACCUGACUUGGAGUCUCUGAAGAAAAGCUUGACUCGCCUCUAGCUUACUCGAGCAAAUACAUAGAAAUAACUCAAGGGAAGUUCCUUUCAACCGACCUAUCAUCUUUGUUCAAACCCCAACAACGACUCAACCUGAAAAAAUUGGGGGCAAACAUGGUCAAGAGCCUCAACACAAUCCAGCAUUUCUGCAAAAGCUUUUAUAGGAAGGCUGACCAAAGGGGAAUUGCACCACCAUUGCAGAAUGGAGCCUGUUCUUGUUCUGCCAAAAAAUAACUACCUCUGUUCGAUCAUGCCUGCAAAACUUCUUGAUUUUUGUUUCAACCUGUUCCAGUUUUUAUUGGUAAUUUGGCUCAAAAUUCCACAAGACUUUCCCUGUCCAAUAAGCCUUUCUUGUUAAUAAGAUCAUGUGUUUUGCUGUGUUCAUGACAUGCCUUCAUUUUUGUUGUUGUUUCAUGCAAAUAACACAUUGAGCAUAACCUUUAAACAUGAAACCAUUGUGCCGAAAAUCUUAUGGUGUGUUUCUCUUUUCUUCCUAAAUUAUGCAUGAUCUCACAUAUUCACAAGGAUUUUUAGGAAUUCAAAGUUUAGUACAAAAACAGAAAUCAUGUUGGUGUUUGUCCAAAACAAACGAGUUCUGGAAAUUCAAAUGAUUCCUUAGAGAGGUAAUGUAAUAGUCCCGACAUAAUCAAUGUUAUAAGAUUCCAACAUAUCCUCUUUAUUUGAGGGUAAAUUUUUUUUUUUUUCAAAAUUUCGGCAGAGUUUCGUUUGCAUUUAGGACAUCCCAAGUUAUCGACUACUAUCAGUUUACUUAAACGACCCAUCAUCACAAGGUCCCUUAAUUCCGGACCUCAUAUCAAACCUCAUAAUUCCACACCUCAUACAAUCCACACAAUAUAUAUCCUACGAGUAAGUUCAAUAUGAACAUAGACCAACACAAUUAUAUCAUAAAAUUUAAAGGAAAAGGAAUACUAACAUGCAAAGAAAGUAUUUACAAUAUAAGAAGUGUUCUUAGAUAUUUCAAAAGGGUUAAUUACAAGAUAACUAAAAUACUACAUGUUAAGCUGAACCUUUAUAAAUACAUCAAGGCUUGCACAAAAGUAUACUACAUAAACAUGUUAAUUUCCUUUUGUUUUAAGUUAAAUAUUUACAUAAAUUUUGCAAGGUAGAGUCCUAAACUAAUGAUCUUCCUGGAUGUUUGAUGGACAUGUUACAUAAAUAAACAUACCAUUAUGUUGAUAAAGAAUAUAUGUAUGCUCAUGUAAUGAAUACGAAUGAAGUAUUAACUUUCUAUCGAAUCCAUAAGAAUUCUAACAAAGAACUUAUAUUUUGCUUGUAAAUCUUUUAAACCCAAUUAACACCCAUUUGUAUAUUCUUAAUUGAAUAAUCUUAUUUACUUGCAUAAACUGGGUGACCUUGCAAGCUAAUCGUGUAAAUCAUAUCCCGGCAAUCCCAUCACGGAUGCCAUUAGCCGAAGCUAAUCGUGUAAAUCAUAUCCCAGCAAUCCCAUCACGGAUGCCAUUAGCAAUCAUAUCCUGGCAAUCCCAUCACGGAUGCCAGUAGCCGAAGCUAAUCAUGUAAGUCAUAUCGCGGCAAUCCCAUCAUGGAUGCCAUUAGCCGAAGCUAAUCAUGUAAAUCAUAUCCCGACAAUCCCAUCAUUGAUGCCAUUAGCCGAAGCUAAUCAUGUAAAUCAUAUCCCGGCAAUCCCAUCACGGAUGCCAUAGCCGAAGCUAAUCUUGUAAAUACACUAGGCUUUAUUUACAUUGAACACGAUAUUUAUUAUAAUUGCAUUCACCAGAAGGAUUCUAAAUUGUAUAAGUGCAAAUAGGAGGGAAAAUCACGCACCUGUUUCGCCUAUCUCGCGACCUCCCCUAACAAAAGAUCCGAUCCUGGUUGCUCCUCCUGAAUCACAAGGAAGUUUUUUUUUUGUUAUGAUUCUUUCAAGCCGAUAUUAUAGAGAAUUCAUAUUCAUCCAUUACUCAUAUGUUACUUUCUAUGCAUGUUCAUUUCCUCAUAAUAACAUACAUACAUAUAUCAUGUAUAUUUUCAGAGUUAAUAUCUCAAUACACAAGUGUUAGUAUGACUCAAUUCUUUUAUAUUCUUAUUUAUAGUAUUAACAUGAAAGUCUACUGUUACUGUCCAAUUUCCAACUGUUACUGUUUGACUUUGAACUGUUACUGUUUGACUUUUCCAACCGUUACUGUCUGACUUUUCCAACCGUUACUGUCUGACUUUGAACUGUUACUGUCCAAUUUCUAACUGUUACUGUCUGAACACUCAUCAGAUUUUUAACUAUAUCUAAAGUUCUAAAACUCCAUUUUAACUGAGAUUGAUCUCGUUGGAAAGCUAAGACACGAGGCUACUAGUUCUCUGAGAGAGGAGAACCCAGUUUUGCUUACAAGAUAGUCAAAAUUGCUCAUUUACUAAUUAGUCCUACUGCCCUACAUAAUCAGUCACGACUCAGUCUCAGUUGGUAACCCAUAACUGGAGUUCUACAUUUCCAAAUUGAGCAAGACCAGUUUUCUUAGUUAGCUAACAUUCAAAUCUACAAUUUCUAUGAGGAACCUGAUCCUAAUCCCCUCAUCCUCCUACCCGACAUCUCAUCGAAAGUUAGGAGACAAGUCUGUCCAGACUCGUCUCCCCCUUCCCUUCACACAAUACUUUCAUAAACUACAUACCACACACAUGAAUUAACUUAAUCUCAAUAAUAAGUAUGUUUUUCCCCAAUUUAUGUCUAAGAACCCUAACCUAUAAUUCAAUAUCAAGGCAUCAAUUCUUUAUCGAAUUUAAAAAAUGAUUUUUUUUUAGAUCAAGUUUAGAAUACCUUACCCGGUACAAAUUAAGAUUUUGAUCUUCAACCAGUUGAAGAUUCUCAACUCCCUCUUUUCUUUUCUUCUUGUUCAAUUCCCCUCCUGUCUUUUCUUCUUGUUCAAUUUCUUGGUAAUCCUUUGCUCUCAAGUGUUUAUCCCAUCUUUAAGCUCUUAAUCUUGGAUGGGUUCUUAAAAUUCUAGUGUUUCUCUCUUGAUUUCUCGAGAAUGGGUAUAAAACUCCCUAUUUUCUCUCCUUAUGUUCCUACAGAUUUUUUUUUUGAUGAGGAGAGAGUAUUUAUACUCUAUAUUUUCCCUUAUUUACAUUUAGACCCCCUUUUUUUUCCUUUAAGUGCAUUAUUCUCUUCAAUUAAAUCUAACCCUCAACAGUACCAGGUUUAUUAUAAUGUCUCGAAUUAUUUUGCCCAGAAAUUUAUAUUCAAAAAUUUCUGAAUUUCUGUUUUUAUUUAAUCAUAUACGUGAAUUUCUUCACUUUUAUUUAUUUAUUAUUUUUUUUUCCCAGGGUUUACAUUCUCCCCUCCUAAUAGAAAUUUCGUCCUCGAAAUUUAAGUGAUGUACCUGAGUUUAUAAACAAGUCGAGGAAUUUUCGUCUCAUUUCUGAUUCUCUCUCCCAUGUUUCUUCCUCAAUUUGUGAGCUUCGCCAUAAGACUCUGAUGAUGGGAACUUUCUUAUUACGAAGUUCUUUCUCGCCCCAUUUGAGUAUCUUUAUCGGUCUCACCUCAAGUUUUAAGUCUUCUUUUACCUCCACUGGCACUUGAGGUAACACUCUCGAAGGGUCUACAUCGGCUUUUCACAGCAAAGAAACAUGGAAUACAUUGUGAACCUUGGCCAACUGUGAGGGCAAGUUUAUUUCAUAAGCUACAGGUCCGAUACAUUUUCGGAUUUCGAAUGGUCCAAUGAACCUCGGAGCUAACUUCCCCUUCAUGCCGAAUCUCAGCAUGUGCUUCCAUGGAGCUACCUUCAGAAAUACUUUAUCUCUAGGACAAAAUUCAAGUGGUCUUCUUCGAAUAUCUGCAUACUUCUUCUGUCUAUCCUGAGCCACUUUCAUUCGAUCCUUAAUGAUCCUCACUUUUUUAGUAGUGAUUUGUAUUAAUUCCGCUCCAUACAACUUUCUGUACCCAACUUCUUCCCAACACAAGGGUGUCCUACACUUUCUGCCAUAAAGAGCUUCAAAAGGGGCCAUUCCAAUUGUUGUCUGAUAACUGUUGUUAUACGUGAAUUCUACUAGUGACAAGUGCUCCUCCCAGUUUCCACCAAAUUCCAAAGCACAUGCUCUAAGUAAAUCUUCUAAGAUCUGAAUAACUCUCUCAGAUUGGCCAUCAGUCUGCGGAUGAAAGGCAGUACUGAUACUCAAAUUUGUCCCCAAGGCACGUUGUAUGCUCGGCCAGAGACGUGAAGUAAAUCUUAGGUCUCGGUCUGAAACAAUUGAUAUUGGGACUCCAUGAAGCCUUACAACUUCGUUCACAUAAAUCUUAGCCAACUUGUCGACUGGAUCUGUCAUCUUUACUGGUAGGAAAAGGGCAGACUUAGUUAGUCGAUCCACCAUGACCUAGAUUGCAUCAUUUCCCCUCUUUCCUCUGGGUAGUCUCGACACAAAGUCCAUUGUGAUCAUCUCCCACUUCCACUCAGGGAUUGGUAAUGGUUGUAACAGCCCUGCCGGUUUUCGGUGUUCUACUUUUACUUGUUGGCAAAUACUACACUUUGCCACAUAACCAACCACUUUUUUUCUCAUAUUUGGCCACCAGUAGUACUGCUUCAUAUCCUGGUACAUCUUAGUACUACCUGGAUGUACAAUGAACUUAGACUCGUGAGCUUCUCGUAGUAACUUUUGUUUAAGGGCUUGGUUGUCAGGCACAUACAUACGUCGCCCCAACAUCACUAUUCCAUCAUCACCCAUUCGAAAAAGAGUUUCACCCCCCGAUUCCAGUUUGAUUCUCACUUUUGACACCUCAUCAUCAUGCUGUUGUGCCUCUAAUAUUUGCUCUCGAUAUCCUGACUUCACCCUUAGUUGAGCCAUCAAGGAUCCUUCCGGACUCACACCUAAUAUUGCCCCUAAUCUCUUUAGCUCAAUCAUGGUUCCCUCAUUCCAAGUCGUUGGUCCACUCCUAAUCACUUUGUCUUUACGACUGAGAGCAUCCGCGACGACAUUCGCUUUUCCUGGAUGAUAAUCUAUAAUACAGUCGUAGUCUUUAAUUAAUUCUACCCAUCUUUGUUAUCGCAUAUUCAACUCCUUCUGCGACAUCAGAUAUUUAAGGCUCUUAUGAUCCGUGAAAAUUUGGACCUGGGAUCCGUAUAGGUAGUGCCUCCAUACUCGUAAAGCAAAAACUACUGCUGCCAAUUCUAAGUCAUGAACUAGAUAGUUGACUUCAUGAGUCUUCAGUUGUCUCGAUGCAUAGGCAACUACUUUUCCAUGUUGCAUUAGAACACAACCCAGUCCUUUUCUUGAGGCAUCACUGUAGACUACAAAGCCUUCUGUUUCGGAUGGAAGGAUUAGUAUGGGGGCAGUAGUAAGCCUUCUCUUCAAUUCUUGAAAGCUCUCAUCGCACUCUUUUGACCACUCCCAUCUUAUGUUUUUCCUGGUGAUUCGUGUUAAUGGAGUUGCUAUCGUUGAAAACCCUUCGAUAAAUCUUCUAUAAUACCCUGCCAAUCCGAGAAAACUACGUAUUUCAGUUACCGUAGUAGGCCUUUCCCAUCUCAAAACUGCUUCCACCUUCUGAGGGUCCACAAAAAUGCCUUUUGAAGACACUACAUGCCCCAAAAAGGUAACUUCUUUUAACCAGAAGUCACAUUUAUCCAACUUGGCAUACAACUGGCGGCUCCUCAGAGUCUGUAGUGUCUGUCUCAGGUGUUGUUCAUGCUCCUCAUAGGAUUUGGAAUAAACCAAGAUGUCAUCGAUGAAUACGACAACAAACUUAUCAAGGUAUGGUUGGAAUACUCGGUUCAUUAAAUCCAUAAAAAGUGUUGGAGCAUUAGUUAAUCCAAAGGGUAGAACUAAGAACUCAAAGUGUCCGUAGCGAGUUCUGAAGGCAGUUUUCAGCACAUCUUGCCCCUUGAUUCGCAUUUGGUAGUAUCCUGAUCUUAAAUCAAUCUUUGAGAAUACUUUGGCACCCUUCAACUGAUGGAACAAAUCAUCUAUUCGCGGAAGUGGAUAUCUGUUCUUUACCGUUACUUUAUUCAGCUGACGGUAAUCUAUGCAAAGCCUCAACGUUCCAUCCUUCUUCUUCACAAAUAAUACAGGUGCCCCCCAAGGUGAGUUGCUUGGUCGUAUGAAUCCUUUGUCUAAAAGCUCCUGCAAUUGAAUUUUUUACUCAUCCAAUUCUUUUGGGGCCAUUCUAUACGGUGGUUGGGCUAUAGGAGACACCCUAGGCAAUAUAUCUAUAAUGACUUCAACUUCUCUUUCUGGGGGUAGUCCUGGCAAUUCUUCCGGAAAUACAUCCGGAAAUUCCCUCACAAUUGGAAUGUCGGACAGUCCUAUUUUACCCUUUUCUAAAUUUAUCACAUAGGCAAGGUAUGCUGUACAACCUUUCUUUAGUAGUUUUCUCGCAACCAUACCCGAGAUCAUAUUUGGAAAGUUGGAAGUUCUCUCCCCCUAUUGUUUCACCCUUAGCCCCUUGGAAGGUUACUGUUUUUGUAAAGCAGUCUAAACGAGCCUUAUUUUUGCCCAACCAAUUCAUACCUAGAAUUAUAUUAAAAUCACUUAAUUCUAGGGGUAUUAAAUCUGCUUUUAGUUCACACCCAUUAAUGUUAAUUCCCACCCCUUCAAAUACAACAUUUGUUUCCACAGUUUCACCCAAAGGUGUCCCAAUAACAAAUCCUUUUUCUACCCUUUUUGUUUCCUUACUCAAUUUGGUUACAUUUUUAUUUGCUAUAAAGGAGUGAGUGGCACCAGAAUCAAACAAAACAUGCAUUUGAUAGUCAUUCAUCUGCAGCAUACCUGCCACUACAUCUGAUGUUGCUCUGACAUCCUCCUGGGUCAUAUGGAAAACCCUUCCUUGAUCCCUUUCAUUUUGCACUCUGGGUCAUCCCCUAUUUGAGUUAGCUCCUGACUGAGUUGACCUUCCCGGUCUAUUUACUGUGAUAGACUGCUGAUGACUCUGACUUUGCUGCCUAUGUCUCUGAGGCUGUUCAGUGUUUAACUGGGGGCAUUCCCUUUUAAAGUGACCCUUCUCACCACAGUGAUGACAUCCUCUUCCCAAGUACUGACAGGUUUUCCACUUAUGACCUUCUCCUCGACAUAUAUAGCAUUGUCCAGGAGAAACCAUACAACUACCAGGGUGUCUUUGUUCACACUGAGCACAUCGAGGGUAGCCAAUUUCCUUCUGAUCAUUAUGCCCCCUUGCAGCUAUAACCCUAGAGCGGGUCUGACCACUUCCCGACCUCCCACUGAUAUCCUGUCGGAAGCUAGUUGAUGUCCCCCCUUUCUUUUUGAAUUGAAGGAACUGUUCGCCUCUACCUUUCUUUGGAAGUGGUGGCCUGCCUAAAAAUUCCAUAUCCUUUCGUUUUCUUGCACCCCCAUGACUCUGUUGGCCUUCUUCCAUACAAGCCUCCAAGGCCUGUGCUGCUUCAAUCAGUUCCCUUACUGUCUUGAAUUGCAAAGCAAUCAACCCCUGCUUCAAUUCUUGUCUGAAGCCAUCCCUUAACUUUUCUAUCAUGUGUUGUUCUGAUGGGACAUAAUGUGGUGCGAAUAGUGAGAGAUCAUGAAAUCGUCUCUCAUACUCGAGUACGGACAUUCCCUCCUGUCUCAAAGCUAGGAAUUCUUGUUCCUUCAUCUUUCGAUGAUAUUUGGAGUAAUAUUGAUUCUCAAACUCUAUCUUGAAGUCAUCCCAGGAUAGGGUUUUUGUAGCCCUCCUCAACUGAACUGUCUCCCACCAAGUCAUAGCACCGUCUGAUAGUAAUUGAGUAGCACAAUCUACCCGCAGAUCAUGUGGUAUCUUAAUUUGAAUCAUGGUUUUCUCCACCUUUCUAAUCCACUUUCCCGCCACUUCAGCAUUCUGUUCACCUGAGUAGGGUUCACAACCCAUUUCUCUCAUACUUUUCACCAAACGAACUAGUUGUACCACGUUAUUAAUAGUUGUAGCUGCUUCUGAAACGGUUGGUAUGAUGGGUGCAGGUGGGGGUGCUGGCAUAGGAGUGGCAGCAUUAGCCAUACCUUCCAUUACUACUUUGACUAGCUGGGCCAAGAGCAUCGGAUCAACAUAAGAAACAGAUGGCCCUGCAGGUGUAGUCUGAGGGGGCUCCUCUACUCGUUCCCGCGGGGCUGACGUGGUCGGCCGAACAUCCCCAGUUUGCCUUGGUGCCUGUCUAAUUUGAGGCCCCGACGAUUCUUCAUGCCCUGCUUGAGUCGAUACUACCGGUGCAUGUGAAGCAGUAUCUUCCAAAGGGCUCUCUUCUUGCUCCUCGGAAAAGUCUAUAUUUCUAUUCCCCCUCCCUGCAGAGGAUAGAUCUGUUCUAAUCUCUUGACGGGUACGUACCAUCCUGCAAUAAAUUAAUGAACAUCAACAAUCCUUUUUGAUUUCUUCCCAGAACCUAUACCAGGGCUCUGAUACCAACUGUAAUAGUCCCGACAUAAUCAAUGUUAAGAGAUUCCAACGUAUCCUCUUUAUUUGAGGGUAAAUUUUUUUUUUUUUUCAAAAUUUCGGCAGAGUUUCGUUUGCAUUUAGGACAUCCCAAGUUAUCGACUACUAUCAGUUUACUCAAACGACCCAUCAUCACAAGGUCCCUUAAUUCCGGACCUCAUAUCAAACCUCAUAAUUCCACACCUCAUACAAUCCACACAAUAUAUAUAUAUAUAUAUAUAUAUAUAUAUAUAUAUCCUAUGAGUAAGUUCAAUAUGAACAUAGACCAACACAAUUAUAUCAUAAAAUUUAAAGGAAAAGGAAUACUAACAUGCAAAGAAAGUAUUUACAAUAUAAGAAGUGUUCUUAGAUAUUUCAAAAGGGUUAAUUACAAGAUAACUAAAAUACUACAUGUUAAACUAAACCUUUAUAAAUACAUCAAGGCUUGCACAAAAGUAUACUACAUAAACACGUUAAUUCCCUUUUGUUUUAAGUUAAAUAUUUACAUAAAUUUUGCAAGGUAGAGUCCUAAACUAAUGAUCUUCCUGGAUGUUUGAUGGACCUGUUACAUAAAUAAACAUACCAUUAUGUUGAUAAAGAAUAUAUGUAUGCUCAUGUAAUGAAUACGAAUGAAGUAUUAACUUUCUAUCGAAUCCAUGAGAAUUCUAACAAAGAACUUAUAUUUUGCUUGUAAAUCUUUUAAACCCAAUUAACACCCAUUUGUAUAUUCUCAAUUGAAUAAUCUUAUUUACUUGCAUAAACUGGGUGACCUUGCAAGCUAAUCGUGUAAAUCAUAUCCCAGCAAUCCCAUCACGGAUGCCAUUAGCCGAAGCUAAUCAUGUAAGUCAUAUCGCGGCAAUCCCAUCACGGAUGCCAUUAGCCGAAGCUAAUCAUGUAAAUCAUAUCGUGGCAAUCCCAUCACGGAUGCCAUUAGCCGAAGCUAAUCAUGUAAGUCAUAUCCCGACAAUCCCAUCACGGAUGCCAUUAGCCGAAGCUAAUCAUGUAAGUCAUAUCCCGGCAAUCCCAUCACGGAUGCCAUUAGCCGAAGCUAAUCUUGUAAAUACACUAGACUUUAUUUACAUUGAACACAAUAUUUAUUAUAAUUGUCAGAUUGUUGUUACACCACCAUCUCUUAGGUAGUGCGUUUUCUAACCCUGCCUCUUUUCGAGUGCGCCUUUGAGCCCUCACCUCCUUUCAAGUGCGCCUUUGAGCCACCACUUCUCAAGAAGUGCGUUUUCUAACCCUGCCUCAUUUCGAGUGCGCCUUCGAGCCCUCAAUUCUCAGGUAGUGCGUUUUCUAACCCUACCUCCUUUCAAGUGCGCCUUUGAGCCACCAUUUCUCAAGUAGUGCGUUUUCUAACCCUACCUCCUUCCAAGUGCGCCUUUGAGCCACCAUCUCUUGGUAGUGCGUUUUCUAACCAUACCUCCUUUCAAGUGCGCUUUUGAGCCCUCACCAAUAUUUUUCAUGGUAGGUCACCCAUUACAACAUGACCAAUUCUCCAUAUUUUUUUUAUCUGAGUAGGUCACCCAUUACAAUGAGGCCAUUCUUCCACUUGGGUAGGUUGUACAAUGAGACCAACAUUUUUUUGGGAAGGUCACCCAUUACAACGCGACCAAUUCUCCAUGUUUUUUUAAUCUGGGUAGGUCACCCAUUAUAAUGAGGCCAUUCUUCCACUUGGGUAGGUCACCCAUUACAAUGAGACCACUCUUUCCUUUUUUCUUGGGUAGGUCACCCAUUACAAUGAAACCACUCUUUCCUUUUUCCUUGGGUAGGUCACCCAUUACAAUGAGACCAACAUUUUUCUAGGUAGGUCACCCAUUACAACGCCACCAAUUCUCCAUAUUGUUUUAUCUGGGUAAGUCACCCAUUACAAUGAGGCCAUUCUUCCACUUGGGUAGGUCACCCAUUACAAUGAGAGCACUCUUUCCUUUUUCCUUGGGUAGGUCACCCAUUACAACGCGACCACUUCUCCAUGUUGUUUUAUCUAGGUAGGUCACCCAUUACAAUGAGGUCAUUCUUCCACUUGGGUAAGUCACCCAUUACAAUGAGACCACUCUUUCCUUUUUCUUGGGUAGGUCACCCAUUACAAUGAGACCACACUUCACAUUCUUUUGUUUUGGUUAAAGGAGGUCGCCAAAUGGGAUCUUAGGUAGCUUUGGUUAAAGGGAAUCGCCAUAUGGGAUUUCAGGUUAACCGAGCUAUAUAUAUUUUUUUGUUCUUGUUAAAGGAGGUCGCCAGAUGGGAUCUCAGGUAGCAUCGGUUAAAGGGAAUCGAAUUGAGCUACACAUAUUUUUUUUAUUCUAGUUGAAUGAAGUUGCCAGAUGGGAUCUCAGGUAGCAUCGGUUAAAGGGAAUCGCCAGAUGGGAUUUCAAGUUGACCGAGCUACACAUAUUUUUUUUGUUCUAGUUGAAUGAGGUUGCUAGAUGGGAUCUCAGGUAGCUUUGGUUAAAGGGAAUCGCCAGAUGGGAUUCCAGGUUGACUGAGCUACACACAUUCUUUGGUUUUGGUUAAAGGAGGUCGCCAGAUGGGAUCUCAGGGUUAACAGAAAAAGAAGAGAGAGAAAAAAAAGAGAGAGAAAGGAGAGAGAAAAGAGAAGGAAAAGAGAAAGAAAUAGAAAAAAAAAAGAAGGUCUUUAGAUGAGUGGAUAUUCAAUAAGUUAGGAAGAUAAGAAGACAAGUUUUCUUUACAAAGCUUACUAUGCAAAACAUUGAGGAGUUUUGCUUCGUAAGCAUUGUAAAGAGAGGGCAUCUGUUGUUACCCAAUUUUUGACCCACCUUUUUGAUAAAAAAAUUUUAAAAAUCCAAAAUAGCGAAAAACAACAAAAAUCCAAAAAAAUAUGUUUUUAAUAUAUUUGCAUCGUUUUUAGCAUUUUCAACGUCGUCUAAAAAACAAUUUAAAUUUUCAAAGGUUUUUGGAACGCGUUCGACUUUUCACGCGUCAUUUUUAAAAUCAUUGAUUUUCCUCAUUGAGUCGACGUUGAUAUUGCUCGUUUUCAAAAAAUACAAAAAAAUUAAGAAAAAUCAAAUUUACAAAAAAAAAAAGAAAGUUGAGGGACCAAUUUUGAGGCCGAAGCAACAUUUUACCUAUAAAUAUGAGUCCACAACUCACACAAAAGGGGGGGCAAUUUUGCACAUUUGAGAAAAACACAAGAAAACCCUAAACCUAAACCUAUCUCUUAAAAAAACCAAAGUCGCAGCCUCCCCCCGGCUGGAAUUUUUUUUUCUCCUCCACACUGUAGCGCCAUUUUCUUCUUCCCUGGCCGCUCCCUUUCCCCAGCCGCAGCCUCUCCUUUUGGAUUUUUUGCCUUCAUCCCCUGCACCCGAAAACCCCCGACUCCCUUUUGUUUUCCCUCAGCUGACCGAAACCUUCAGCCUUCCACCAUCUCUUUCCCCCACAGACCAACCAACCCCAGCUCCUCCACAAUACAGACCCAGCUCCUCCAUCCAACAGCCCCGCAGCCAUCACCAAAUUCCCCCUCCUAGAACCACAACUUCCCAGCCUCCCUUCACACAGGCCUUUCUUCUUUGCAGGUGAUGUUAUUCCUCACUGCCAAUGCAUAAGGGAAGAGGAGACAGAGUCGAGCCGGAUCCACCAGUUGUUUGGGGUUGUCUGCGGCGGCGUGUGGAUCCAAGCCUAGUCCUAGGGUCCCUAGUGGAUUCCCCACCUAGUAUUAUGGUCACUAGGAACCCUAAAUGGUCUUUCAUAGAUUCUAAGCAAGGGACUGUUUGCGUAAAGGGGACGUAUUAGCACCCCUAGUACGCCCUACCUAAGGUAAGCUGCUUGGUGUUUGGUUUGCCUUAUAAUUGUUAUGGUGUUGAUGUUCUCUUAAUUAGUUUUCCUAGGAUAUGUUUGCUAUGAUGAAUGGAUUUAGGUUUAAAGUCUAAAAGCAAGAACCCUUGGCCAAUAUGGAUCAUACCUUUAGAUAUGUCUACAAAGUGCCAAGGAGAACCAAUGCAGAUCUCUUGAAAUCUGUGUUUGAUUCAAACUAAAAAAAAAAUUAAGAUAAAAAUCCAAGGAGAUUCCAUGUGCUUUAAAAGCUCAUUUUUCUCUUAGUAUUUCAAGAGUUUGCGACUUGUAAAUCACAAGGAGGAGGAACAAAAAUUUAGAAAUCUAAGGAAAUUCAGUGCACUUUAAAAGCCUAUUUUUGCCCUAGCAUUUCAUACUCUCACGACUCGUAAAUCGUGGAGUCAAAAAUUAAAAUGUCCUUAAUUAUAAUCAAGGCUUUUUUCAAGGAUGUGUGAUGACUUAUUAUUCCUAGAAAAUUAUUUUGGAUAUUUAUCACUUAGGGAUUAAUGUAUUAUAAUUAGAGUGAAAGAUAAAGAGAUGGGUCCGCAGGGCUGCAAAAGAAAUUAUAUUUAAGAAGGAAUGUGCCAAACCGAGCAUGAUGUCCUUGUUUGAGACCAUAAAGAGCCAUUUGGAGCUUACAAACAUGUUAUGGAUAUUGAAGAUCUGUCACUCUCGAAGGUUCUAUGUCUUCUAAAAUUAAACUAUGUAAGAAGGCUUUUUUUUUUUAAAUCAAGAUGAUGUAUGGACCAUUUCUGAACUAAAUUUAUGGUUAUAACCAUAUAGAUAGUUCCAAUCCAUCAACUUGGUGAUAUACCCCUUUGGUACCACUCGAGCUUUAAGACAAUCUAGUGAGCCAUCGAGUUUGAUUUUUGGUUUGAGAACCCAUUUAAAGCUAAUGACAUGCAUGGAAGUUGUGUGAGGAACAAUUUUUGAAGUUUGAUUUUUUUGGAGAGCCUCAAGUUCCUCUUCCAUGGCAGCCUUUCAGCUAGGCUGAGCUAAGACAAGCCGAAUAUUGUGAGGUUCAUGUGGAAUGGUUAUUGAAGAUUUAAGGGAACUUAAAGCAUAUUUUGGAUUAGGCUUGACAAUACCUCUUUGUGAUCUAGUAACCAUGCUAUAUGGUGGAAGAGGUGAAUGUGGAGAAUGGAAACAUUGUGUCUAUUCUAGUGAAACAAAAUCAGACUGUGAAAAAGAUGGGUAUUGCUCUUGCAUUUUAAGCUCAAUUUAAGGUGGUGCUAGAUGGAUUCAAUCAUGGAUUUAGUUCUAUCAAAAUGUCAAAUGUCAAUUUUUUCAUGUUGUUGAUUUAUUUCAGUCUUAUUUCCAGGUUCUAUUAGUUAUAGUUCAGUUACGAUUUCAAACCUAACAUGUUAACAUUCAAUUUUAUUUAGAGUAUUAACAGUAGCACAACCUACAACAUCAUGUGAAUCAAGAUAAAGUGUUGGAACGGCUGGUGAGGAGCUUAAGCAUGGUGGACUGGGUGUUGUGGGUUGUAUAUCUGCAACAAAAUUAGAAUUAGUAUGAAACAACCAUGAAUCAAAUAUGUUAACGACAUGUGAUGUAGAAGACAUAGUGUUACAAUUCUGAUAUUUUUUUAAAGGGAAAGAAUGACUCAUCAAAGACUACAUGACGAUAAAUAAAUAUUAUAUUACUGGAAGGAUGAAAAUAUUUGUAUCCUUUAUGUUUAUGAUUGUAUCCUACAAAGAUGUAAAUGACUGCUUUUGGAUCAAAUUUGUGUUGUUUUGUAUACUAGGUGUAAGGGAAGCAUUUAAACUCAAAGACUCCAAGAGAAAAAUAAUCAGGAUGAGUAACAUGCGGUGUAAAAUAUGGAGAUUCCAAAUUAAGAGUAGACGAAGGCAAUCUAUUUAUAUGGUAAACAACAAUAGUUAAUGCUUUAACCCAUAAAAAUAAAGAAACACCAUUGUGAAAUAACAUAGUGAUACCUAGUUAACAUAUGAUUCUAUGUCUCUUUUCAACUAUAAAUGUUUGCUCUAAAGUGUAAAAGCAUAAUACCUGAUGAACCACACCAGUUAAGAGAAAAUAUGAUGGUAGUUUGGAGUUUAUGAAUUCUCCUUCUCCAUCAAAGUGAAAAACCUUGAUUUGUUUGUUAAAUUGUCUAGAGACAUAAUAUUCAAAGACUAAAUAAGCAUUUGCAAAGUUAGACUUAUGUUGUAAUAUAUAUAAUAUCAGAAUUUUUCUAUUGAUAAAAUAGGAACAGGUCCCUAUACAUCACAAUUAUUUUUAUAAAAAAAAAUCAGAACUUGAGUGUUCAGAACAGGAAGAAGGUAAUCUACUAAGUUUCCUAAAUUGACAACUAUCACAAAAAUGUUCAUGUUUUACGGUUCCUAUAACAUCAUUUAAACCUUUAUUUUGCAAUACUUUUAGAGUGGAAAAUUAAGGAUGUCCUAUGCGAUGAUGCCAAAUGUCUGUUGAUCCUUAUCUGAAUUAAUGAGAGAAGUAGAGCUCGGGCAUGAUGAGAAGAAUAUAAAGAUUAUCCUUGCACCUCCCUAUGAUCACGGGUUGCCUUGUCUGUCAUUCCUGACAUAUGGUUGGAGGCUCCUAUGGCUGAUGUCCAUUAUGUUUCAAUGAUAGUAUUGUCCAAAGUGAGAGUUGUAAGAGCUUAUGGUAUGUCUUCAUAUUGAGUUGAUUAUUUUGGUACUUAGCAAAAUAUCUUUUCAAUAUAUCCUACUUAACCACAAUACUAACAAGUUUCUUCUCAAUAUAAUUCUUGUUAUGUAGGUGUCAUGUUGUUCAUCACGUGGGGGGAGGAAUUUUUGUUAAGGGCCUGAAGUAAGUUUGGAAGAGUAGGUAUGAUUUCUAUCUUUAGGCUGUUGUGCGCAGAAGCCUCUCCAAGUAGAUAUGAACUUAUUUUUGUUCCUAUAAUUUCUUAAAGGGAACUAUUGUGUAGGUUGUAGUUUUUGUCCAUAAACUCUUGUUAUGGGGUUAAUGAGUUUGAAUUAUUCGUAUGAUUUGAGCUGAUAUUUUUCCAAUAUAUGUUCUACUAUAAAUUACCAUCCUGAGGUGAGUUUACUGCUGUUGGAACUCCUUCAUCAGUCAGCUUCUCUUCACUGACAUAGGCUUACUGCUGUUGGUCAUUCCCAUUGGUUCGGGUCUCCUUGUUACUCCCACAAAUCAUGCUAGGUUGGUGGGGUUCUGCUAUUGUUAAUAUGUGCAUUCGCCCAUCAUUCUACUGGUAAUUUUUUUCAAAGAACGUAUUUCAAGAUUUUUACUUUCUUAGAGCCUCAAGUUCCUCUUCCUGACAUAUAUAUGGUUGGAGGCUCCUGUGUUUGAUGUCCAUUAUGUUUCAAUUAUAGUAUUGUCCAAAGUGAGAGUUGUAAGAGCUUAUGGAAUGUCUUCAUAUUGAGUUCAUCAUUUUGGUACUUAGCAAGAUAUCUUUUCAAUAUAUCCUACAUAAUCACAAUACUGACAAGUUUCUUCUCGAUAUAAUUCUUGUUAUGCAGGUGUCAUUUUGUUCAUCAGGUGAGGGGAGGAAUUCUUCUUAGGGGCCUCGAGUAAGUAUGGAAGAGUAGGCAUGAUUUCUAUCUUUAGGUUGUUUUGCACAGAAGCCUCUCCAAGUAGAUAUGAACUUGUGUUUGUUCCUAUAAUUUCUUAAAGGGAACUAUUGAGUACAUUGUAGUUUUUGUCCAUAAACACUAGUUAUGGGGUGAAUAAGUUUGAGUUAUUUGUAUGAUUGGUAAACCAAUUGUGUCUUUGAUCAAGACUUUGUAGUUGUGAGAUUGACUCGAAAUAUGAAGGCCUUGGUAGUUUUAGCAUGGUGGUAUUGAAAGUUUUAUAUUGAGGGCCAAUAAGACUAGUAAGGAGGCAAAAACUUUCUUUUUUUAUUUAAGACAAGUUUCUUAAUAGCGGCAAAAUUUUCACAUAAACCUUUGAAGGUAUACAUGUGUUCUCUAAUGGUUCUGUCAUUUUUUUUUUUGCGAAGAUAUAUAACUUGUUGUCUGAGAGUAAAUUAAUGUUCUUGUGAAUCUUCUGCAUAUUCAUUCUUGAGAGUAUUAUAGAUAGCAUAGGAUGUAUCUAAACCCAUAGCAAGGCUGGGUGUUUCUUUUAAAAGCAUCCCAAUUAUCCAUCCACGAAGAAGACAAUCUGCCUUUUGCUAGACAACGUAUUCUUCCGUUAGUUUUGGUGCAAAGAUGUCUGAAUCUGUAGUGUUAUUUGAGUCUAGUGUAGUGUACUUAAUGGGGGUUGGAUCUUCAUUAGUGAGGUGCCAACUAGCUCUUGAUUUUUUGCAAGAGCCAAGGCUUGUUCUCUCUCCACAAUGGAUAAUUUGUAGGGCUGAGUUUGAGGGUAAUAAAAUUACCAAUAUUGAGAGACGUUGUUGUCAUGUUGCAAGGUUUUGCUGAGAUUGUUGUAUGUUCACACAAGCUCCGAUAUGAUAAAGAAAAAUUGAAAGAAAAAGAUGUUUGAUAAGAAGAUUAGUUUUUUUAUUGAAGGAGACAUGAAUACAUAGCAGUACUUUUACAGUGCUUGAGUAGGUGGUAUUUAAGAUAACAAUAAAAUAUCAAUUUGAAUAGAAUCUGUGUAAAUAAAAUCCCUGGAAUAUGAUCUGUUACUUUGACUGAUAACAUUAACUAACAUGAUUUGAGCUGAUUUGUUUCCAAUAUAUGUUCUACUAUAAAUUACCAUCCUGAGGUGAGUUUACUGCUGUUGGAACUCCUUCAUCAGUCAACUUCUCUUCACUGACAUAGGCUUAUUUGAGGGAGUGUUUAUCCUCGUCAUUGCAAUUGUUUCGGGUCUCCUUGUCUCUCCAGUUACUCCCACAAAUCAUGCUAGGUUAGCGGGGUUCUGCUAUUGUUAAUAUGUGCAUUCGCCCAUCAUUCUACUGGUAAUUUUUUUCAAAGAAUGUAUUUCAAGAUUUUUACUCUCUUAGAGGAUAGGAUUUUUUCCCUGGAUAGGGUAGAAAAAUAUUGAGAAAGAAAAAGGAAGAAUUUGCUUCUUUUAUUCUUUUGCUCCAUGUAAAUUCAUAACCAAACUUUCUCAACGGAAUCUUUGUGAUUAAUGGAUAACAAAAAAGACAACAAACACCAUUGCACCAAAUGAUACAUUCCAUGCUAGAAAAUACAAUCACAUUUCUGGGCUUUCAAAAGACAAUCCAAGCAUGCUAAGACAAGGUUUUUCAGGACCUUCUUAUUAUGCAAAUUUAAAAGCAGUUACCACAAUACCAAGCUUUGACCUAUGAUCAUGGAGUCAUGUCUUGAUCCUUUUUUGGAACCCAAAUAAGAGUACUAUCAGUAGCCAGAAAGUGACAAACAGCCGGUCCUGGUUUAAUUUUGAGAACUUCAAAGGCCAUAUGGUCAGGACUCCAAGCUGAUGUGUUCAGGUGGCAUACGGUUACCUCUUUCACUUCUGCGCCAUCAGAAGCGAUUAAUGGAACCACAUAAACCUCUGUGCCUUCGAUUACAUGGCAAUAAUGUACUGCAUAAGGAUAUCUGAUCUUAUGACACACCGCUGCUUUAUGUUCUCCCCUCAUUUCCGCUUUUGCCGAAACAGUAUACUCUUGCUUCUUGCCUGGUUCAGUUGAGAGUACCUGAACAUUUUGGCCAAGCCUCGCAACAUUAAAAUCAAUUAAUGACUCUAGAGAUGUAGCACAAUAUUUUUCUUCUCCUUCCAUGUUCGGGCUCUCGCAGUAUCCUAUUUCAUCAUUGAUAAUCUCAGCCUCUUUUGAGUUGACUUGUAGAGAAAAGUACUUCAAAAUCUCCGGAAAUUUGUCACUUGAAAAUGGUAUAGACUCUGCGACUCGACGAGGCAAGAAACCAACCUUGGUUCCACUGUUAGUAAAAAGCAAUUUCAUCUUUUUACCUGGAUGGAGAUCGUUGUACAAGUAGAAUAUUGUCGAGUCGGGGAGAGCAGAUUUUGCGGCUUUUUUAUGGUUAUCUGCUCCAUUAUAGUUUUUUCCAUAUUUUUGACGAGCAUCAACGCUAAUUUUUUCGCCAUUACUGAAAUCUCUGAUCACUGAAGGAUAAUAACCAGGUUGUAGAGUAUCUCGAAGGGCUUUUGGCAAUGGAGUGUUGGGCAACCUUGAGAACCAAUACUUCUCAGUGGGUGGAGAAUUAUCGCCCGGGAGGAAGCUGGGCACUUUGGUUGGUAAAUGGACAGCAGUGGGAAAGGAAAUGUGGAGGGAGAGAGUUAGAAAGAAGAUCAGCAAUGGUGCACCAGAAAUGGCUGGAGACAUUUUUCAAAUAAGGAGAUUGAUGAUUGAUCGAGGAUGGUAAAGUACAGAGCUGAGUGACGUUAUUUAUAGAGAGGGGGAGGGGAUCAGGGCAACGUUUGCAUAUUACUUUAAUAAUUAAAUUAAAAAAAAAUUUAAACAAAAAAAAAAGUUGAAAGGUUUGGUGCCUUCAUUGCAGCAUCCUCUCAAAAAAUUGCCUUAAGUCUUUUUUUUUCUUUUUUUCACCUAUAGUUUUUCUACUGUGUUUUAGACUAAAACUUCAUUUUCUUUACAUAUCAAUUCUUGAGUUUAAGGAAAAAAAGAGAAAAUAUUUUGUUAGCCACAUACUAACAGUAAAAAAGAUUAUUUUUGGUGUCAAUGAGUUUGUAUUAUCAAGAGGAGUUUAAUGGUUGUAGUGUUUUCCUAUAAAUAUGCCGGAAAAGUAGAUCACGAUCUUUUUUUUUAAUUUGGUUGAUUUUUAUAUUAUUAAAGCGAGUUUUAGGUGUUUUGGGGCCUCAAUUUUCUUAUCAUUAAAGAAGAACAUAAGUCAGUCAAUCAGGUGACGGGUCGUUUACCGCGGUAGGGGACUUGUUGCAAGGUUAAAAAAAUGGAGCUUUUGUUGCUUCUAAUAAAGAAAAAAAUAGACAAUCGUGGAUGCUUGGCCUUAUUUUUAAUAGGCCAAGCGUGCUAAGUACCCAGGCCCACACACUAGCCUAUUUUUGGGUUUUUUUUGUUUUUCCUUUAAUUUCAAUCUAGUUUCUUUUAAAUUAAUUUUUUUAAAAUAUAUUACAUAUGUUAUUUUAUUUAAACCUUGAUUUUUCAAUCAUUGAAGAUGAACAAAAACUAGUCAAUCAAGCAACGAGUCGUUUGCCACAGUAGGUAACUUGAUGCAUGUUAAAACCAAAUGGAGUUUUAACUCCUCAUAAAUAAAAAAAUAGACAGUCAUGCAUGCCUUAUUUUUAAUGGGCCAAGCAUGAUAGGUACCCAGGCCCACCCAUUGGCUUGUUUUAGGUUUUUUGUUUUUUAAUUUCAACCUAGUUUUUUUUAUUAAUUUAUUUGAAAUAUAUUAAAUAUAUUAUUUUAUUAUUCUGAAGUGAUUGAUCAUCUUCUUCAGCAAUGUUUCUUAAAGAAGAAGAAGAUAUUUUAGAAACUCUACCAUCUAAUGUGUGUGACCAAACUUUUAUGCAAGGCAAAAAGAAAAGAGAAAAUAAAGAAAAUAAUAAAAGUGAAAAGUAAAACAAGAAUAAAAUUUAUAGUUUAUACACAAUCAAAUAAUUAAUAUCUUCUCUUAAGUGCAGGAGUGUCAAAGUAGUAAUAUUGGGGUCGAUCUAUAAGGAGGUUGACUGGUUGAGUACACGUAACCAUAAAUAAUGAAAAAAAAAGUGAGUUAAAGAGAUUUUUAAGAUGCGAUAUUAAUAUAAAGAUUUAAUAAAGAUAAAAGAAUUGUCAAGGCUAGAGGAUCCACUAAAGGUAUUUCAAAUAAGUAUAGUCUAAACUCUUUAUAUUGCUCAACUGAACACACAAAGAAGAUUCCAAUCGAAUGGUUUAAUAUCUCAUUUUAAGUUAUUAACAUGAUCAUAUUAAUUAUCUCUAAUUAUUUUAUUUGAAUAAUAUCAAUACUUAUAAAUAUUGUUAAGUAUUCAUGGUGCUAAUUUAUAUCAUUAACAAAUCAAGAUCCUUUCAUAGCACAAGUGCCGGUUCUCUAUGUGGUAGGCUAUGAAAGAAUCAAGAAUUUAUUAUGUCAAUGAUUAUACACCAUGAAUCAAGACUCACCACUUAACCAGAAAGAUAUUAAAAUGAUUAAGAUAACAAUUACACCACAUAUUAAUAACAAAUGUUCUUGAAUUUAAACAUUAAAGUCCAUGAUAAGUUUGUACUAUACUUAUUCUUACAUCAUUAGUAUAAUAUUUGGCAAAAAGAAACUUAUUAAACAUAACUAAGAAAAAAAUAUAAAUAAACAAGAUGAGAACAUAGGUAUGAUAAAAAUUAACUAAGCAUAUAAUAAGAAAAAUAAUAAGUAUAAAUAAGAGAUUAAUAAGAAUACAACAUGAUAAAACCUGAUAUUAUAAAUUCAAAUAAAUAAAGAAAGAGAAUGUAUCUUAAACUCAAAACCAAUACAUCUAAAUAUAUAGUCAAUACUUUCUUUUAUAGGCUAAAAUUUAGAAUUCUUGAUAUGGUGGAUAACUAUUAAUUUGAUGGUUGGAAAAAAAUCAUUGAUAACAUAAUAAUCUAAAUAGAUAAUCUCAUGAAAGUUGUAGAUAUUUGUCUCAUAUUUCCAACCAAAAAAGAAUGGGCUUAUUUGAGCUUUUAGAAUUCCAAAUAUGGGAUGAACAUUGAACAUUGUCCAGGUUGUAGACAAAUUCAGACUCCUUUUUUAUUGCUACAAUUUGAACUUAAAAGUAGUAGUAUUGAGUCUUGAGAUAUUCAUGAAUAUUUUAGGCCUGUAUUUUAUCUUUCUAUAAAGCUAAACUACACCUGAAUCUGAGGUCAAUAGCUCCAGAUAUAUCCUAAAAACCAAACGAUGUUCUAGUUUGAAUAGAACCAGCUCAACAAGGAUUCUCUUCUCUAAGCUUAGCAAUCUCUUUGUUGUCUCUUCACAUAAAUCUUCUUCACAUAAAUCUCAAUUUCAAUAAUUAAAUGCAUCAAUCAGUUCUCUGAAUUGUGAGGUAUGUCUGUUUUAUAAACCUGCAUUUAAAACGUAGCAUUUAUCAUAAAUUAAAGAUAUCUUAUAUUAUCAAACUUGUUAUUAUAAAACAUGCUUAAGUUAGAUAACUUAAUGAUACUUUAAGUGCAAUAUGAUUAUAUAAAACUCGAAUAAAAAUGCACUUUUAAGUACUUAUUAAUAAGAUUAUAACAAACUCUUAACAAAAUUAGCAAUCGUUCUUUUAUGCAACCAACCAUAAUCAUUUUUUUAAUUUUAUUGGUUUGCUUUCUUGUGAAUGACUAUUUUUUUAUCAUAUAAUUAAAUAGCAAAUGGUUUCCAAAAAGAAAAAUUAAAGUAAUUAAACCUAGUCAGGUUAGUAAACUAGGUCGCGAGCUUGGUAGGCUAACCGAGGUUAACCCGAUUUGAUCCAAGAUGUCAUCUCUUUAUAUUUUAAAAAAUAUUUCAUCUUGAAAUUGUUUUAGUCAAGCUGGAUUUUCAUUAAUUGUCUAUUUGUAUUUGGACUAACCAUGUCGAUCGGUGUACAAGGCAUUUCCAUGUGGAAAAUACGGUAUUUGUCUUUUGCAUCUUCUUCGUAGUAUUAAUAAGAAUGGAAGAACUAAAUCAGGUGAGAGGAGAGAACAACAAUAGGGUAAUGAGUAGGGGUGAGCAAAAAAACUGAAAAACUAAUUAAACCAAGAAAACGGAAAAAAAUAAUAAUAAAAAAACCAAACUGUGAAAACAAACCGAUUAAAAUUUUUAAAAAACCGACUGGUUCGAACCGGUUUUUGUUAUAAAAUAACUAAACUAAACCGAAACUGGUCGGUUCGAACUGGUUCUGGUUGGGUUUUUAAAAAAAAAAUUAAACCGGUUUGAUUACUUUUUUUAAUAAAAACUAAACAAAAAAUGGUCACUCCUAAUAAUGGGUUAAGGACCAAGGAUGAUUGAGUAGGAACUAAUUUGGACGGAAUCGAAUGAUUACGAGCAUAGACAGUGAAAUAAAGCCAAGAGGGGAGAGCACUUAGACAAUAUAGGUAAGUCUGCUGGAAUGAAUUUUUCAGGACCUAGCUUAAAUAGAAAGCGCAGGAAAGCUGAUUGACGGUAAUCAGACACUGAAUUGCCACACUGGUUUUCAGGGAGCUCUCAACUGCUGAAGAGGAACUAGAAAAAAAUUUAAUUAAUGUCACAAACUCUAAGUAUUUUUAUUAUAAAUCUAAUAUUAACAUUUUUCAAUUAGUUGUAUAAUUUUUUCUAAUAAAAGAUUAUCACAAUUAUAAAAUAUUAGGGUUUAACACGUGAUACCUACCAUACAUAGAGUUUUUCCCUGUGAAGGAAAACAACUUAAAAAUUCCAAGUUAAAUCUUGUCUCUCGCAUGGCCUUAUUACACAUAUAUGUCUGGAAGGAUGAGAAAAGGGAGUAAGAUAGAAAUCAAUCUGCAUAAUUCUUGAUAAACAGUAGAAAAAGAAAAAGAGAAAUCUCCAGUCCUAAAAAAUACAACAAUUCAACAAGCAGGUGUUUGUCAAAACACAGACAACUUAACAGUAAUGUGACAACAUGAAUCUUCAUAAAUCCCAAGAUGAAACAAAUAGUGACCAAUCAAAAUCGAGAAUCUAAACCGUGAAACCAGUUUUAAAUCCAGCAAGCAACUAACUUUCUCCAUCUUCCACAUCCAAAAAACUACAACAAUUAAAGUAAUUCAAUGCAUGUACCAUGUUAAAUACGCAUAACCCUAUGAUAAAAGCUGCAACCAACCCAUCCUCAAAAAGACAUAAAUCGCUUCGCAAGCAACAUCAUCGUCAAAAAAUCCUGAUGACUGAUCUAUUGUCUUCAAAGUAGCAAUUCAUCUACACCCAUUAACUUAUGCACACAAUCUAAACUCUACAACUAAAUGCUUCAAUAACUAACUGAAGAUAGACAUUGUUGGAAGAAUGGAGCUAUGAUCAAGGCAAAAAAUAGAAGGCAGUGACAAAAAUACAAACCUAGCAAAGGAGAGCUUCCAAAAAGGAAAUAACAAAGAGGAAGAAACAAUGGAAGCUAGUCAACCUUAGAGAACUUAGCAUCGAAAUAAAAGAAAACAAAACUAAGCAAAUGAAAAGCAAGGAAGAAAGGUUUGUCAAAAUCAAGAGGAAGAACAAUGGUAGGAAACUAAAUGGAUUUUUUAUUUUUUUCAAACUCGUAAAAUCAGUCCGAGUUUAACCUAAUUUUACGAGUUUGACCCGAUUUUGCGAGUUUUCGAGUUUUUAACUUGAUUUUGCACGUUAUAUACAUGUUGACUUGUAAAAUCAUAUGAUUUUACGAGUCAACUCAUGAUUUUGAUAAUAAUGGAAGGUAUUUAAGAUAACAAUAAGAUAUCAAUUUGAAAUACAAUUUUACGAGUCAACUCGUGAUUUUGAUAAUAAUGGCAAGUAUUUAAGAUAAAAAUAAGGUAUCAAUUUGAAAUACAAUUUUACGAGUCAACUCGUGAUUUUGAUAAUAAUGGCAGGUAUUUAAGAUAACAAUAAGGUAUCAAUUUGAAUAAAAUCCGUGUAAAUAAAAUCUCUAUGAUAUGAUCUGCUGCUUUUACUGAUUUGAACAUUAAUUAAUGUUAUCUGAGUUGAUUUGCUUCCAAGUUAUGCUCUUCUAUAACAAAAAAAUUCCUUGUUAUCAUGAAUCACCAUCUUGAGGUGAGUUUAAUGUCGUUGGGACUCCUUCAUUAGUCAACUUCUCUUCACUAAGAUAGGUUGAUUUGUGAGAGUGCUCAUCAUUGUCAUUCUAAUUCUCUCAGUCUCCUUGACACUCAAGUUACUCCCACAAAUCAUGCUAGGUUGUCGGGUUCCGCUAGUGUCAACACCUCCCCUCAACCUAUAUCGGGGCUUGAGGCAAAGUUUGCCUUUAAAGUAGCUCAGUGAAACCUUUAACAUAGUUUUGGUGAAGAUGUCGACUACUUGAUUAUUAGUGGAGAGGUGUUGAGUGUUGAGAAGUCCAAGUGCAACUCGUUCAUGAAUAAAAUGAUAAUCUAACUCAAUGUUUUUGUUGCGAGCAUGAAACACUGGAUUAAUUGUCAUAUGAAAGCACUAAGAUUGUCACAAUAGAGGAUUGGUAGAGAAGAGAGUGGAAUGUGAAGAUCUUUUAGAAUAAAGGUUAUCAUCGUAAGUUUUGUUGUUGUAUUGGUCAUGACUCUAUAUUAUGAUGCAAUGCUUGAUCAAGAGGUAAUAUGUUAUCUCUUUGCACACUAGGAGAUGUGGUUUCUUCUAGGAAAUAUGUAGUAUCUAGUGGUGGAACAUCUUAUGGUGGAGUAAUCUCCCUAAUUUGCAUAUGAGAAAAAACAAAGAUCAAGUGUAGCAUGGGAAGUAAAAUAUCGGCCAAUAUCAAUGGUUCCUUUCACAUAUCUUAAAAUGUGAUGAACCAUUUGUAAAUAUAUAACAAUCGAAGCAUGCAUGAAUUGAGAGACAAAGUUAACAUUGUAUAAAAGAUCAGGUCGUGUUAGUGUUAGGUACUGUAAGGCACCAACAAGUCCAUCAAAAGAGUGUGGAUCUUCUAGUAACGUGUCAUUUGUUGUGAUCCUAGUCUUAGCUUAAAAUGGCAUGUUCAUGGGUUUACAUUCCACCAUUUAAGCUUGUUCAAGGAUGGUAAUAAGAUAAUGUGAUUGGGAAAGAUGGACCUUCAGAUGUGUGAGUGAUCUCAAUCCCAGGAAACUAAUGAAUUGGUCCCAGAUAUUUCAUAGCAAAUUUUGAACACAAAAGGUGAAUAAGGUUUGUAACUAAAAUAAUAGAAGACCUUAUGAAAAUUAUAUCAUCAAUAUAAAAAAAAAAGAUUAAUGUAUUAUAAUUAGAGUGAAAGAUAACUAGAGAUGGGUCUGUAAGGUUGCAAAAGAAUUUAAAUUUAAGAAGGAAUGUGCUAAAUCGAUCAAACUGAGCAUGAUGUGCUUAUUUGAGACCAUAAAGAACCAUUUAGAGCUUACAAACAUGUGAUGGAUAUUGAAGAUCUGUCAUUCUCAAAGGUUUUAUGUCUUCUGAAAUUAAACCAUGUAAGAAGGCUUUUUUUUACAUCAAGAUGACAUAUAUACCAUUUCUGAACUAAUUUUAUAGUUAUAACCAUGCAGAUAGUUCCAAUCUAUCAACUUGGUGAUAUACCCAUUUGGUACAACUCGAGCUUUAAGACAAUCUAGUGAGCCAUCGAGUUUGAUUUUUGGUUUGAGAACCCAUUCAGAGCUAAUCAGAUGCAUGGAAGUUGUGUGAGGAAUAAGUUGCCAAGUUUGAUUUUUUUGGAGAGCCCCAAGUUCCUCUUCCAUGGCAGCCUUUCUACUAGGGUGAGCUAAGAUAAACCAAAUAUUGUGAGGUUCAUGUGGAAUGGUUACUGAAUAUUUGAGGGAACUUAAAGCAUAUUUUGGUUUAGGCUUGACAAUACCUCUUUGUGAUCUAGUAAUCAUGGUAUGUGGUGGAAUGAAGAGGUGAAUGUGGAGAAUGGAAAAGUAGUGUCUAAUUUUAGUGAAACGAAAUCAGGCUGUGAAAAAGAUGGGUAUUGCUCCAACAUUUUAAGCUCAAUUUCAGGUGGUGCUAGAUGCAUCUCAAUCAUGGGUUUAGUUCUAUCAAACUGUCAAAUGUCAAUUUUGUCAUGUUGUUGAUUUAUUUCAGACUUAUUUACAGGUUCUACUAGUUGUAGUUCAGUUACGAUUUCAGUCCCAACAUGAUAACCUUUAAUUUUAUUUAGAGUAUUAACAGUAGCACAACCUACAACAUCAUGUGAAUCAAGAUAAAGUGUUGGAAUGUCUUGUAAGGAGCUUAAGCAUGGUGGAGUAGGUGUUGUGGGUUGUAUGUCUGCAAAAAAAUUAGAAUUAGUAUCAUGAAUCAAAUAAGCUAACAAUUUAUGAUGUAGAAGACAUAGUGUUCCAAUUCUGAUAUUUUUUUUAAAGGGACAGAAUGACUCAUCAAAGACUACAUGACGAUAAAUAAAUAUUCUUUUACUAGAAAGAUGAAAAUAUUUGUAUCCUUUAUGUUUAUCAUUGUAUCCUACAAAGAUGUAAAUGACUGUUUUUGGAUAAAAUUUGUGUUGUUUUGUAUACAGUGUAAGGGAAGUAUUUAGACUUAAAGAGAAGAAUAAUCAGGAUGAGUAACAUACGGUGCUAAAUAUUGAGAUUCCAAAAUAAGAGUAGACAAAGGCAAUCUAUUAAUAAGGUAGACAACAAUAGUGUUAACCCAUAAAAAUAAAGGAGCACCAUUAUGAAAUAACAUAGUGAUAUCUAGUUAACAUAUGAUCCUAUGUCUCUUUUCAACUAUACAUGUUUGCUCUAGAGUGUAAGAGCAUAAUACCUAAUGAACCACACCUGUUAAGAGAAAAAGUGAUGAUAGUUUGGAGUUUAUGAAUUCUCCUCCUCCAUCAAAGUGAAAAACCUUGAUUUGUUUGUUAAAUUAUCUAGAGACAUAAUAUUCAAAGACUAAGUUAGACUUAUGUUGUAAAGGGAUUAUCCAAGUAUACUUAGAGAAAUCUUCUACUAAAUAUACAUAAUAUCUGAAUUUUUCUAUUGAUAAAAUAGGAGCAGGUCCCUAUAAAUCACAAUUAUUUAAAAAAAAUAUCAAAACUUGAGUUUUCAGAACGGGAAGAAGGUAAUCUACUAAGUUUUCCUAAAUUAACAACUAUCACAAAAAUAUUCAUGUUUUACGUUUCCUAUAACAUCAAUUAAGCCUUUAUUUUGCAAUACUUUUAAAGUGGAAAAUUAGGGAUGUCCUAAGCGUUGAUGCUAAAUGUCUGUUGAUCCUUAUCUGAAUUGAUGAGAGAAAUAGAGCUCAGGCAUGAUGAGAAGAAUAUAAAGAUUAUCCUUACACCUCCCUGUGAUCACGAGUUGCCCUGUCUAUCAUUCCUGACAUAUGGUUGGAGGCUCCUGUGUAUGAUGUCCAUAAUGUUUCAAUCAUAGUAUUGUCCAAAGUGAAAAUUGUAAGACCUUAUGGUAUGUCUUCAUAUUGAAUUGAUUAUUUUGGUACUUAGCAAAAUAUGUUUCCUAUAUAUCCUACUUAACCACAAUACUAAUAAGUAUUUUCUCGAUAUAAUUCUUGUUAUGUAGGUGUCAUGUUGUUCAUCAGGUGGGGGGUGGAAUUUUUGUUAGGGGUCUGGAGUAAGUUUGGAAGAGUAGGUAUGAUUUUUAUCUUUAGGCUAUUAUGCACAGAAGCCUCUCUAAGUAGAUAUGAACUUGUGUUUGUUCCUAUAAUUUCUUAAAAGGAACUAUUGAGUACGUUGUAGUUUUUGUCCAUAAAUGCUAGUUAUGGGGUGAAUGAGUUUGAGUUAUUCGUAUGAUUGAUAAAUCAAUCGUGUCUUUGAUCAAGACUUUAUAGUUGUUACACUGACUCGGAAUAUGAAGGCCUUAGUGGUUUCACCGUGGUGGUAGUGAAAGUUUUAUGAGGGCCAAGGCUAGUGAGGAGGCAAAAACGUUUUUUUAAUUUAAGACAAGAUUCUUAAUAGGUGCAAAAUUAUCACAGAAACCUUUGAAGGUACAAAUAUGUUCUCUAAUGGUUCUGUCAUCUUUUCUGCGAAGAUAUGUAACUCGUUGUCUGAGAGUGAAUUCAUGUUCUUGUGAAUCUUCUGCAUAUUCAUUCUUGAGAGUAUUCUAGAUAGCAUAGGAUGUAUCUAAACUCAUAGCAAGACCGAGUGUUUCUUUUAAAAGCAUCCCAAUUAUCCAUCCACGAAGAAGACGAUCUGCCUUUCACCAAACAACAUAUUAUUUGGUUAGUUUUGGUGCAAAGAUGUUUGAAUUUGUGGUGUUAUUUGAGUCUUGUGUUAAAUUAAUAUUUUAAAAAGGUGAAAGGUUUGGUGACUUCAUUGUAGCAUUCUCUCAUAUUAAUAUUGUUUUUUUUUAUCCCUUUAAUUUCAUUUUAUCAUUUAUUUGUUUUUAAUUCCAUCCUUGUAAAUAGGGUUAAAUGGGAUUUUGGGUUCUUGAGGUGUCAAAAUGAUGUUCUAGCAUUGAAUUAAAACUUUAUUUGGCAAGAUAUGGUUCAGUUUUGUUGGUUAAAAAAUUGAAUUUUUUAUGACCAAAUUAAUUUGAUAGUACAACAGAUGUGCAUCCCCUUGUGUAAUCAAUGUCCUUUUUAAAAAAUUUUAUUUAAGUCUUUUUUUUUCAUUUUUUUAUCCCUAUAGUUUUUCAUCUAUGUGUUUUAGACUAAAACUUCAUUUUCCUUACAUGUCAGUUCUUGAGUUUAAGAAAAGAGAGAGAGGGUUGUCAAAAACUGGCUGGGUAGAGAGAAAAAUUUGGUUUACCACAUACUAACAACAAAAAAGGUCAUUAUUGGUGUCAAUGAGUUCAUAUUCUCAAGAGGAGUUCAAUUGUUGGAAUGUUUUCCUAUAAAUAUGCUGGAAAACAUAGAUCACGGUCUAUUUAUUUGUUUUAAUUUGGUUGAUUUUUAUAUUAUUAAAGUGAUUUUUAGGUGUUUUGGGGUUAGGAAUAAGUUUAUCAAUUUUUUUUUUUUUGGGGGGGGGGGGCGGGGGGGUAUUUUAAGAUGAAAAUAUCUCAAAAAAAUAGUUUUUGGAGGUCAAAAACUUGGACCUCAAUUUUCUUAUCAUUUAAGAAGAACAUAAACCAGUCAAUCAAGUGACGGGUCGUCUACCACGGUAGGGAACUCAUUGCAAGUUUAAAAAAAUGGAGCUUCUGCUGCUUCUAAUAAAGAAAAAAAUAGACAAUCAUGUAAGCUUGACCUUAUUUUUAAUAAGCCAAGCAUGCUAAGUGCCUAGGCCCAUGCACUCGCUUAUUUUGGGUUUUGUUUUCCUUUAAUUUCAAUCUAGUUUCUUUUAAAUUAAUUUAUUUAAAAUAUAUUACAUGUGUUAUUUUAUUAAACCUUGAUUUUUCAAUCAUUGCAGAUGAACAAAAACUAGUCAAUCAAGCAACGAGUCGUCUACCACAGUAGGUAACUUGAUGCAUGUUAAAAAUAAUGGAGUUUUCACUCCUUCUAAUAAAUAAAUAAAAAAUAGACAGUCACGCAUGCUUGGCCUGCUAUUCCUAUAUGUCUAGCCUUAUUUUUAAUGGGCCAAGCAUGUUAGGUACCUAGGCCCACACAUUGGCUUGUUUUGGGUUUUUUUUUUAACUUUAAUUUCAACCUAGUAUUUUUUAAAUAAUUUAUGUGAAAUAUAUUAAAUAUAUUAUUUUAUCAUUCUGAAGUGAUUGAUUUUCUUCUUUAGCAAUAUUUUUUAAAGAUGUAGAAGAUGUUUUAUAAACUCUACCACCUAAAGAGACCAUUAAUUAGUAUAUUUUAUCUCUUGGAAUUGUCAAAGAUUAUUUCUAAACAUAUAUAUGCAUACACCCAUACAUAUAAAUAUUUUUUAUAUUUGUGUAUUUUAUUCACGUCUUUGCAUGGUAAUAAUGUUAUAAUAAGACAUCUAUUCCAUCUUUAUUAAAAAUCAUUAACGAAAAACUAAGUCAUUAUGACAUUGAAAAUCGUUAAUGAAAAAUAAAUCAUUACGACACUGAAAAUCAUCAACAAAAUCUGAGUUAUUUCGAUACUGAAAAUCAUCAAUGAAAAUUAAGUUAUUACGAUAUUGAAAAUCAUCAAUGAAAAUUAAAUAAUCAUUAUGACACUGUAAUUCGUCAAUGAAAACUAAGUCAUUACGCCACUGAAAAUCAUCGAUUAAAACUAAAUCGUUAUGAUGUUUCUUUUCCCAAGUUCAUGCAUAAAAGUCAAUACCAAGUUAUCUUCCUAAAAGAUCAUACCAUAACCUAUUUAUGGACAUCAAUCACAUCACAAUUCAUCUCCAAGAGUAUAUGAAGCAAAAUUAACAUGUAAUGUCUCCAAUCUAUUACAAUCUCACUCACUCAUCAAAUGUUGUUAAGGACGAUCUAUUAAUUAUCAUUAUAUUCAUGAAGGCAUUUCUUUCCUAUUUUUUCCAAGAUGGUCAAAACCUAUGUCUCUUCUCAACCAAACAUACUUUUGUGUUUUUCGAUAUGAUAUCAAGUACUCAUCAAUUAUAACAUGGCAUACUGUGUUCUAUACAUUUCAAUUCAAUUUAUGAAGUUCUACUAGUCAUGUUCAAGAAUCAUGCUUAUUUCAAUAAUCUCAUCUAGUUCAUAACAAUGUUAUUAAGUAGUAUUCAAUUAAAUUCAAGCACUUACAUUUCAAGGAUUUUCUUUCCUAAGUCUUUAUGCUGACCGAAACAUAGGACAUUCUUUCCAAGUGUUUAUUUCAUCAUUCUCAAUCAUUUCAUUUCAAAUCAUUAAACACAAGCUAAUAACUAUUCUCACAUUAUAUAUGAACUCAAUUUAUACAAUCUUGUUUGUUUUUCUAAGGAUGUUCAUCAUACAAAGAGGUAUCCUACAUUUUCUUCUCUUGGCUAAACAUGUUGUCUCAAUUACUUGAAGUUUAUUUAUGUAAAUAAUCACUUUCACUCCAAAUAUGUCCAUUUUAACAAGCGUUAAUCAUACAUCAAUCUUAUAUGUGAAACCCCGAAUAAAUUUAUACAGAAUGGGAAAUAACUAUUUUUCCAAAUGAGCAAAUUGAAUAUCUACCUUAGCAAGAGUGGAAUUGGAUUCCUAGUAUUAUUCGAGGAAAUUGUUUUUAGAUACACACCGGUGUAAAUAUUAUGAUAUAAAUGUAAACCUAUAAGGAUAGUGAAUUAAAUAUUACACUGAGCAUGUCAAAUUUAUAUUUACCUUAGAGGAAUGAUAUUGGGUUGAGAAAUUUGGACAGAAAAGUUUAUGUACUGAGUUUAAAAAAUGGAAACUUGAAAAAUACUAGAAAAUAAAAAAAGACAAAAAUGAGAAAAAAAUUUAUAUGAAAGAAAAAAAUAAAUAAAAAUAGUAACAUGUAAUUUAAUGAAAUUUAAAUUCACCAGUUUUAAGUUUGGUAUAAACCGGCGUCAGGACCCGGGAAAUAUUACUCGUGAAAAAUAAAAGGUUUCAAGGCAAGGACAUAAAGGGAAUUUUUAAAAUUGUUACCUAUAAAUGGGUUUGUUGGCUGAAACUUUGAGGAAGGUUUAGGAGUGAAAAUUCUUCAUCUUUCUUAGCUAGAUAAUAGGAAAAAAACAUGGGAGAUCAUAGAUUUAUGAAGUAGUUUGUGAGAUUUAAUGAUUCUAAACACUCUAACACUUGUAAUUAAAAGAGGAAAUUAAGAGAAAAUAGAGUUUAGUGAGAGAAGAUAAGGGAAGUGAGGGAAGAAGAGGAAAGCUUGGAGUAAUUUCAAUUUGGCUAGCUUUUGGAGGAUAAAGUAGUGAUUGGUAACAUAUUCUAAAUUUAAUUAAGUUGAUUAAUAAGGAUUUGAUUGAAUUGUGAUUCAAUUUGUUGGAAUUAUGUCAUUAGGGUUUAUUUGUGAAUUUGGGGUUUUUAUUAAUUAAUUGUUAGAAAUGUUGAAAUGAGUAGAAGUGAGUAGAAAUUAGUGAUGGGUAAAAUAUUCUAAACUUAAUUGAGUUGAUGAAUAUGGAUUUAAUUGAAUUGUGCUUAUGUUUGUUAGAAUUAUGUCAUUGGAAUUUUUAUGUGAAUUUGGGGUUUUUGUCCAUUGAUUGUGAGAAAUGUUAAAAUGAGUUGAAAUGAAUUUUAUGGAUGUAAAUGGAUUUAAAAAAACAAUAAUACUAAUAAUAAUAAAAUUACAAGUUAAUUAAUAUAUUAAAAAUAUAUUGAGUGUGUUAUGGAGUGAAGAAAUGGGGAAAUAUAUUAAGGAGUGUGUUUUGGUUAUGUGAGAUAUAUAUAUAUAUAUAUAUAUAUAUAUAUAUAUAUAUAUAAUUUAUGGUUUAGACUAUGUUAGAAGUAAAGAAAAGACUUGGAAAAGAAAAGAAGUGAAAAAGAGCAUUGGGACCGAGAAUGAAAAAUUGGUGUAGGAAAAGAUUUUAGUGAUGGGUUGGUGUGUAAUUUGAUUCUUGAGAGCAUUUAUAUUGAAAAAGGAAUGAAAGGGAAAAACUAGAAUAGAAUGAAAGUACUAUAUAAAUAUAUUCGAAAAUAAGAAAAGGGAAAUACCGAAUAUGACUUUGAAAAAAAUACUUUUGGGUAUAUCAUGAGAUGAAAUGAAGAAAACGUUAGAUUUUGCAAGAAACAAACGUUACCCAAUUUGGAGUUAUAGAACUCAAAAUAUGGAUAAAACACUAAAGAAAGGUUAGGCUAUAGGACAGACCCACGUGCCAUUGUAUUUCGAUGAAUUUAAGUGUGUAAAUGGAAGAACUAGGUUUAACCCUCUUCACCAAAGUUGUGUAUUUGUGUCUUAGCUUACUAAAUAAAUAAACCCCAAAGAAAACCGAUUUAUACAACUCUAGUGGGGAGAAAAACAACAAACAAUGUUCUAGUGAAUUGUCAUGUAUUAUUGAACAUAAUGAGUUUUAAUAUGAAGUUUAAAAGAAGUGUUUCUUAUGCAAGGAAUGAGUAUGUAGAUUUCAAAUAAUGUACUAACAGAAAGUAUCCAUAUGAUCUAGGGGAAACACUAGGAACAAGAUCUUCUAUCGGUGGAGCUUACUCGACUGGAGAAAGAGGUAAGUAAAAUCUCACUAACAACUUAUGAUGUUGAUUUAAACUUUUGGUUGAAAUCAUGAAUGCUAAGAAUGAAAAGAAUACGGAUGAAUCGUAAAUGUGAUGUGAAACCAAUGUAAUUGAGUUGCUUUUGCAAUGAACGAAAGCCAAUGUUAAGAUCAUUUUCAAAGUUUUCGAAAACCAAUGUAAUUGAGUUGUUUUCUUAAUAAACGAAAGCCAAUGUUGAGGUCAUUUUUUAAGCUCUCGAAAACCAAUGUAAUUGAGUUGCUUUUGCAAUGAACGAAAGCUAAUGUUGAGGUCGUUUCUGAAGCUCUCGAAAACCAAUGAAAUUGAGUUGCUUUCAUAAUGAACGAAAGCCAAUGUUGAGAUUGUUUCUGAAGUUAUCAAAAACCAAUGUAAUUGAGUUGCUUUCGCAAUCAAGGAAAGCCAAUGAUAAGGUCUAUUCUGAAGCUCUUGAAAACCAAUGUGGUUGAGUUGCUUUCGCAAGGUACGAAAGCCACUAUUGUGACCGUUUUCGAAGUUCAUAAACCAAUGUGUUAGGGUUGUUAAUAUGUGAAAGUUCAAUGUUGAGACUAUUUCUCCCUAAACUGUGAGGAAAUCAAUGAGAUGGAGAUGGUUUGCCAAGACAACCAUUAUGGUGAAAUCUUCGUAAAUUGUUGAGGAUUAAGUAUGUUUUGGUUGUUUUGUGAAUGUAUAAGUAAAUGUUGUGUGGUUACCCAAGUUACCCUAAGAAUGAUAACAAAUUGAAUUGAAGGAUAUUUUUAAGGUCAGUGAUAAGUCGUUGUGAUAUAUUUGAUAACUAUGUAAAUCAAAGCAUACUAACCAAUUUAAAAUUUAGGAUAGGUCGUACUUACAUCAAGUAUGAAUACCUCAAGGUGAUAUUAUUCUGAAAGUGUAACUAUUAUUCAUGAAAUCUUCUAUAGGAUUGGAUAAGAAGGAUGAGAACCCUCAUUAUCAUACAUACUUAGAAGAAAAAAUGUGUUUGAAAUACGAACUUAUGCUUAAUAAAUCUUUGUUGCAGGAACUUCGUGUAUUGGCGGGCCAAGUAGUUAGAUGGUAGGUGAACUCUAGGAUUUCAAAACUUUUGUUGUACAUGUAAAUAGUUUUGUAAACUAAAUUAAAAGCUCUUUCUAUUAUCUCUUGUUGAGAUGUCGCGGUCGCACAAAUUAAUUACCCUAGCUUCAAACACAACACACAAGAUAGUAUAGAGCAAGCAAGAGGUCGAUACCACGAGGAAGAUUCAAGUCAGAUUUUUAUGCUAGAUGAUAUGCAAUUUGGGGGGGUUGGACGUUAUCUAGACUAAAGCAAAAGAAAAUAGAAAACUAUCAAACAAAAUUUAAUAAAAUCAGAAAAUUAUCAAGAGAACAAACAUUGGUUGCAAGCACACAUCCACCUACAGAAAUCAGAACUGAUCAUGGAAAUGAAACAUCAAUUUAUAUUCUGAAUAUUUAUCUCUUCUUAACAUUGGUUAGUUAACGGAUCCGCCGUAUAACUAACCCUAACCAUCAAACAACCACAGUGUCCGCACUAGUAAUUUAAUUCAAUAGCAGCCUUAAGAACUAGAUAAGUUGUUAAUCAAGAAAACAUAACUAUCUGCAGUCUAUGUUUGAUUUGAUUGAAUGUUCUCCCUAAGAUUAAUAACGUAGAUCCGCCAUAAUUAUUAAACUCAGUUGCUUCACAAGUUCAUAUACCACAACUCCGGUUUUGAUAUCAAAUUUAGCAAUAGAUUGUCUACAAUAAUAACUUAGAGUCCGCUUUAGCAAUUAAAAUAAACAAUCAUAGGAAAAAUAAGCAUAGGAGAACAAACAUAUUCAUCAUAUAGACUGAAAAGAAAAGGUAAAAUAAAUCUCACAGUUCUUGAAAUCUGAAGGUUUCUGUGUCCUUGCAACCAAGAAAAAGUGUUUAGCCUUGCAUGUUUGUUGAACAACUAAUCAAAAAAAAGGAAGAAUGCAUAAUUUUGAGUUUCUUAGAGGAGGGGGGUGUUUUUUUCCUCUUGGCUGGCUGCCCCCUUCUAUUCUCUCAUUCUUUUUAUAUCCUAGGAAACCCUAGUCUCUAUUUUACAAAAUAGUCCUCCCUUAAGUAGACUGUUUACAUUUAAGUACUUCAAUAACUAUUUUCCUAAAAAAGAAGAAAUAGCCUUGCAUGAAAUCUUCAAGCUUUGACUUAGAGGAGCUAAAUUGCUGAAAUAAAAACUUGGAUAUCGGUUUAGAUGCUUAGGAACGUAAUUUGGACUCGUUUCUUCAUGAAACCUAUUUGCUGGCAGAAUUCAGUUGUCAUCUUUGAAAAAUAAUAUCUCCCUCAUAUGACAUCUUUUUUUACUUACAUUCGGAGAUUUUAUAGACCUUUGAGUCAGGAAUCCAACAAAAUUUAGUUUGCAUCAAUUGGACUUCUAUAGCUCCAGAUAUUUAAAUUGGAAUGGCUGAAGGUCAACACUAGCAGAUUCCGAGAUUUGACUUUGAAGGCUGCAAUUUCCAUGCUCUUCCUUAUUUUAUUUUCUUGCCUUAGAUUUCCAGAAAGGUAUGGAUGUUAGCUUUUUAAUGCCACUGGAAUCACUUCAUUUCAACCUCUAGAGCUCACGCUCUGCACAAAACAUCGACUGAAGGUCAAAUCUGCCAAUUAUCUCCAAUUUACUUCUUUUUGCAUCUUUCAUCCAAAAGUGCCUUCAAAACAUAAAAUAAAGAAUAUCAAGAUAUUUUAUAUAUAAAACAUAGGCAAAACACUAGUUAAAUGUGGGUGAAACUAUCGAAUAAUAUGGUUGCAUCAUCUCUCUUUCCUUAAUGACAUUGUUCUAUCUAUGUUUGGAUUUAUGUAAUGGAAUUCUUAAGUAAAAUAUUAUUAUGCAAGAUGAUAUAUAUAUAUAUAUAUAUAUAUAUAUAUGUGUAUUUUUCUUAUGAAUUACCAUGGUGUGUAUAAAUCAAUUACUCAUGGUUUAUACCAAUCAUUAGAUUAAAUUCAAAUAAGAUAAAACACAUAUAAAGGUAGUAAAAUAAUUAAUUUCAAGCCUAGUAAGGUAACAUAGCUUGUGCAUGAUGAAAGACAAGCUCGAGAUGUGUGUUUAAUUUUUCUUCUCUUUCUAUGUAUUUCAAGUUACUAGGUAUAUGAGAUUGGAUAUAGUUCUUUCUUAGCAUCUGUUUAUAGUUAAGUUCUUGUGUAAUGGAUACGAUGUCGUUAUCGAAAAGAAUAUAUCUAUAUAUGAGGUUGGGAUUAACUUGUGCUUGAGAUGAUAUGGAAUAAAGUCUAAGACAAAUGGUCUAUGUGGUGACAAUGAUUGUUAAACAAAUGAGAUAAUCGAUAACUUGGUAUGUUCACUUAUAAAGGAAACUUUGUGAAAUUUUCAAUAGAGUUGCUUAUCAAUAAAGGAGCAUGAUUAUGUGUAUAAAUACAAAAAACAUUUUCCAUGAUAAGAAAAUACAAAAACUUAUAUUUGAUUGAAAAUGUGAAAAUAUUUUAAUAUUCUCAUGUUUAACAUCCUCUGAAGGAUGGAGGUGUUACACUCUAAGUUUACAAUUUAAUAAGUUUUACAAUUCAUGAUGCAAAACAAGAAUAUUAACAUUCUAAAAUUUUGUUUUAGUCUAGACACCUUAUCUUAAGUACUUGUCAAGGUCACAAAUUAACAAAUUGUAUCAUUCUAUCUUAUUCUCCCAUCACUUCUUCAAUAUGUAGACCUUACCUAGGGUUUCUUCUUAACAUGCACCAAUUUCUUUUGUUAUAAAAUCUGAAAAUAUCCUUUUCUCAUCCUAACCUUAUAACCUUUUCAUUUAGUUCACAAUCAAGAGAUGUAAGAACCCUAUGUUACCUUAUUUAUGGUUUUCUUCCCAUUUUAUCUUAUAGUCUCAAAACAAUAAAUGUAAGAGUAAGGGUCAUCCUUACCACAUGAAUUUAAACAAAAUUUUAGGGAGGUGUUUUGGUGAUUUUCUUCUCCUUAUUUUUGGUUUUUUUCCUUCUUCCUCCAAUGUUGUUCCAGCCAACCUCCUCUAUCCCUCACUACUUCAAUGUUUUCAGUUUUCUUCACCUUACCUCUAAUAUUCUCUCACUCAAAUAUCUUGUAUAGGUGGCAUGCAAGGGAUUUCUUUGGUAGAACGUGUAAGGGAAGGGGCUCCUAUGAUUGUUUUCAGCCUGCCAUGAGAAAAAAGAAAAGUCACUCUUUCUCUUUUCCAAUGUAUUUCUACCCCUUUUUAAAUGAGGGUAGGUCAUGUUUGGAUGUUGGGUUCUCUUAUCCUAAUGGUCUUUUAAGUGUUUAUUGGCUGGUUUCCUCUUGUUUUUCCCGGGUAGUUACCGGGUCAAUUCUAUUUUUUUAUGGGGUUUUACAAUAAGAGAAAAAAAGAGAAACCAACCCAAAUACUAAAAAAAACUGAAUUAAAGUAGAGAGAGAAAACUUGGUUUUUAGAUCACCAAACCAGUACACUUCCAACCAAAGAGUUCCAGAUUAUAUAAAGGAGAAAGAGAAGGAGAAAAUUAAGAAGAAAGUAGAGAAAAAGAGUCACUAACAAAGGAGAAGGAAGGAGCCCUAUUCUAGAGAAAGAGAAACACCCAAAAUACUUCUUCACCUUUGACUAGCCACAAACGACCACCACAACAACUCCUACUUAUCUAGAAUAGAUUCUAAGGUAAGUUACAGUUCUUUCCGCUUUGUUUUUCUUUCUUUUUAUGUAAAUUUGCAUAAUUAAAGUUUAAAAACAAUGCAAAGUUAUUAUUCAUGCAUUUUUUUAAUUUCAUUUUUAAUGACUUCAUAAUAAUACUAGUAUCAUUUUAUAUAAUUAUGUUGUUGCCAUUUUAUAUAGGUAAGUGUUUGUACGAAAUAUUUAAGAAAAAUAAUAAAACAUUGUGUUGCUGAAUUUUAAUGUGUGAUUAUUUCUUUGGGAUUCAAUGAAAUCCGUACGCGUAUGCUUGAUUCUGUUGAGUGUUUAAUUUUUGGCAUGCCAUAUUUUUUGUUUGAUUUUUAAGAGCAUUUUCAUAUAAAUAAAAAAAUAAAAUAUGCAUACUUUGUUUUUGUUAAUUGCGUCAUGUUUGUGUGUUUUUAUAUUGUUUAUGAAUAUAACAAUGUCAUUUCUUAUUGUUGCCUUUAUCUAUAAAUAUAUUUGAUAAUUGUUUUUUAUAACAUAUUCUCUUUUACUGUGAAAAGAUCUGGCUUGGGACAACGUGACCCCAAACAAGCCCAACAAACAUAAGCGGCAUCUUUUAUGACAUUAUAAACAAAGUGGAUCAAAGUUCAAUUCUCACCAUCAAAUACGGGUUCAACACUUAUUUUUUUUCUUAACAUUUUCAACAAAAUCUCUUUUUAGGGAUUAACAUUAUUUUUUCGACAUGUCUCCUUUUUUAAAUGAGACCGAUGUCAAAAUUUUAAAAUCAAAUAAGGGUUUAACACUCAUUUUAACCAUUUUGAUGGAGUAUCAUUAUAGGGAUCAACAUCAUUUUUCUUAAAUGUCUCCGUUUUUAAAAAGGAUUGAUGUCAAAAUUCUAAAAUCAUAUAUGGGUUGAAUGUCUCCGUUUUUAAAAGGGAUUGAUGUCAAAAUUCUAAAAUCAUAUAUGGGUUGAAUGCCCACUUUUAACAAUUUUGAUGAAGUCUCUUUUAGAUAUUAAUGUUAUUUUUUUGACAAGUCUUCUCUUUUAAAAGGGAUCAAUAUCGUUUUUCAACAAGUUUCUUAUUUUUUAGGGACCAAUAUCAUUUUUCGAUAAAUCUCCUAUUUCUAGGGACUAAUAUCAUUUUUUGACAAGUCUUUUAUUUUUAGGGAUCGACGUUAAUGUUCAAAAUAAAUUGUUAAUAUGCUCAGAAUAUUAUAGCAUAGAAUAAAAUUUAGAAAAAUACAAGCAACAAUAACCUUUCAUCUAAAAGUAUGUGGUAAGAGUGAUGUCUACUUUCUCUUAAACAUAAUUAACCCAAUUCUCAAAUAUCUCAAACCAAUGCCAAUUUUAGGACUCCUAGUUUUCUUUAAUUACUAGGUGACGACUUCAAUUAUUUUAUUCCCCCCAACAUCGUUCUUCUUAAAAAAAAAACAACCCCAUCACCUCAAUGUCCGCCACAGUGUGACACGUCUAAUGCAUGGAAUGGAGCUGUAUGUUGAAUUAUCUAUUAUUGGAAUAGAAGAGUGUAAAGUUGUUUAUGUAUGUCUACAACAACGUUAUACUUAAUGAAUGAGUUAAUGGAGAUCUAGAAGAUCCGAAGUUCAUGUAGUGGGGAGAUCAAUUAUUCUCCUUGUCUUGGACUUUCAUUCAAUGUGGAAAAUAUCUUUAAUGAGAAGUAAAAUGGAAAUGAACUAGCUUUUUAUUCAAUUCUCCACAAAUGACUCCAUUGAUAAAGUUCUGAAAAAAAUUUACACAAAAAAUGGACCUUCCAUGGAUGGCGUCUUGUGCAAGGUUGGCUUGAUUAUUGAGCUUGACUAGUGGUUAUACGAUUUCCAAGAAAAAAAUAAUUUUUAUGAGGAAUAGAGAAUUUUCUAAUACUUAAGACAAUAGAUGUAUGGAGAGGAAGAAAAUAUAUAGAACAAGAAACAUAAAACGAAGGUUAGAGAAUGCGUAUCUCCAUUUGUUUGCCUAAAGAUUAUAUUGCCAAGCCUAGCUUGACCUGACUUUCAAUGUGUUAGCUUUAGUUGGCUUUCAAUGUGUUAAAGGUGGUGUUUAUGGUCGUGAAUGAAAUUGAAGAGAAAAUUGAAUAUUUAGACUCAAUUUGACUGAAAUUGCAUCAAUUAAAGAGCUAAGGAUGAAAGUGUAAAAGGUGUUGAUAUUGAGGGACUGACUUGAGUUCAAUCAGGGUGAAAUUAAAAGAAGUAAUUUUCAAGGUCAAAUUGAUAGAAAUUGUAUACAAUGAAAAUCCAAGAUUGAAUAGAAAAUGACGCUAAUGUGCAAGGACUGAUUUGGUUUCAAUCAGGAGUUAAAUCAAAAAGAAAAUCAUGAUUAAGGAUGAAUUUGACUUAAAUUUAAAUAAUUAGAAGUACAAGGACUAAAUUGAAAGUUGAGAAAAAAAUCUUAAAUGAAAUAGAGUGUUGUUGCCUAAAUGGCAUAGUUGUUAUAGGCGUCCCUGGUUUCCUCUUCCCCUUCCCCCACCGUUGGUUUGCAUGGUAACAAUGACAUUAUUGGUUUUAAAUUUUCAUCUGUAGGGUGGUACAACCUUCAACCAUUUGUCCUUUGUUUUACAUGGAAAUUAUUGAGAAAAGAACCUACCCAGCUGCUCUACUACAUUCAUACUUCAUUUUUAUAUUAAUACUUUGCUCCAUUCUUCACGUGCAAAGGAAUAAAACUGGUGCCAAAUGGGCUAACUCAAGCAUUAUUGAGCAAAUCAUUCACCAAUGGUGGAUGUUCAAGAUUGCUCUACGUGGAUCAAAAAAUAGAUAUGUUCCGCUUAGAAAGGUUUUGGAACCUUCCCUAUAACAAAUUAAAUGAGUUUGUUUUUUCUUUUCAUGAUUUCACUUAAUUUCCAAAAUGUAUUAAGACUAUAUUCUCAUCCCAUUUCUUGUAAAGUUUUUGAAUAUAAAAUUGAAAAUACUGUGGAUUCAUCCAGCAAUAUCAUACCGGUACUUUUCUUGUAAAGAAUGUCUUUCAAUAUUUUUUACUUUCUAGAGGAUAGGAGUUUUUCCCCAAAUAGGGUAGAAAAAAAUUGAGAAAAAGAGGAAGAAUUUGCUGUUAGAAGCACCUACCACAAUACAAAACUUUGACCUAUGAUCAUGGAGUCAUGUCUUGAUUCUUUGUUGGAACCCAAAUAAGAGUAUCAGUAGCCAGAAAGUGACAAACAGCCGGUCCUGGUUUAAUUUUGAGAACUUCAAAGGCCAUAUGCUCUGGACUCCAAGCAGAUAUGUGUUCAGGUGGCAUCCGCUUCCACUUUGUCACUAAAAAAUAUCAUAGCAACGUUUGCAUAUUACUUUAGCAAUUAACUAUAACUAAAAGACAUCAGUGUUUUAUUGUAGCGGGAGUUACUCUACAUUGUGAGUGCUUUCACUAUAGAUUGCACUAUUCUGCACUAUAGUUCGGGUACUAUAAGUUGUGAGUGCUUUCACUGUGAAUUGCAUUGUUUGAUGGGGGAAUGGUGAGGUUCCAACCUGCAAGCCCCAAGCGCCUGUUUGGAGGCACGCCCCCUGGGGCUGCGAACACCUUGCGCUUGGGCUGCCAGGCUUGGGUAUUGGGCAGGUCACAAGCACCUGCCCGCGCCCCACGUUGCAGCCACCUGACGCUGGGGAGGCCCUAGCAUUCAGACACCUGGUGCGGGGUCUGCCCAGCCUUGGGCGCUAGGGGAAGACCUGCGCGCUUGGCUGUAGCCCCAGGGCGAGCGGGUCUACAGCCCCGCGAGCCUGGAGUCUGCAAACCCGCGAGGCAAAGUCUGCAGCCCCAAGCGCCUAGCCGGUAGACCUGCGCGUUGUGUGUAGAUCCGGCCGCCGAGGUUUGUUCUCACAGCCCUUGAGUUUAGAGACUCGCGCGGCUGAAUCGACAGACCCUGCAAAGAAGAAACUUUGGCCAGGCAAGUUUGAUAUUAUUAUUAAUAUGAGAAAUAUUAUUAUUUGUAUUCUAAAUAUUAUUAUCAUUAUUGUAAUUAAAAGUAUUAAUAUUAAGAAUAGAAGAAAAUUGAAAAAAUAAUAAUAACAAUUAUCAUUAUUAUUAAUGUUAAAAAAAAUAUUAUUGUAUAAACUUUGGCCAAACAAGUUUAAUAUUAUUAUUAAUAUGAUAAAAUAUUAUUAUUUGUAUUCUAAAUAUUGUAGUCUUUAUUGUAAUUAAAAGUAUUAAUUAAUUAGCUCAGGCUGGUGACACCUGGAGCUAUGGUUGCCAAGCCAGGGCGUUGGGGCUGGCCACGCGGACUUGGUCACAACCCCAGGAAGUAGACACCUGGCGCGGGGUUUGCCCAGCCUUGGAUGGUGGGGGCAGACCUGAGCACUUGGCUGCAACCCCAGGGUGAGCGGGUCUACAGCCCCGCAAGCCUGGGGUUUGCAGACCCUCAAGGCAGGGUCUGCAACCCCGAGCACCUAGCUAGCAGACCCGCGCGCUGGGUGGAGACCCGACCGCCAAGGUCUAUUCUCACAGCCCUUGGGUUUAAAGACUCGUGCAACUGGAUUGGCAGACCAUAUAGAGAAGAAGAAAAAAAGUAAUAACAAUUAUCUUUAUUAUUAUAGUUAAUAAUUUUUUCAAAAAAAUAUUAUUACUAUAGAUACUUUGGCUAGGCAAGUUUUAUAUUAUUAUUAAUAUGAUAAAUGUUAUUAUUUGUGUUCUAAAUAUUAUUAUCGUUAUUGUAAUUAAAAGUAUUAAUAUUAAGAAAAGAAGAAAAUUGAAAAAAAAAUAAUAACAAUUUUAAGAAUUUUGUCCAAGGUGAGAGAAGGAGGUAUCCAUAUUUUAUAGUAUAUUGAAUAAUAAUUAGAACACAACAUGUCUCAAAAAUAUCCUCAGCCACCAAUAAAAAAAAAAAUUCUUACAAUCCACAUCUCCACAAAAAUAUUUUAUAUUAAGAUCUCAUGAAACCUUUUGUAUUCAUUCUUGCUUUAUUUUCUUUAGUAGUCAACCAGGAUGCAGGGCACAAAAUUAAUAUAAACUACUGUGGUAAUGGAAUAACAAAAUACUAGGAUCAUUAUGGCCCACCAAGCUACUUGCUUGGUGGGACAAAUUAACGAACAAGGACUUGUGAAUUUUGAUGUUUUUGUUUAUUGUAACUAGUGAUUAUCUUGUUAUAAUUGUACCUUUUGAGCAUGUGAGUAUUUACGGGAAGAAUAUGCCUACGGAGACCACUUUUUCUUGGUUGUUUAGCCAUAUUCGGAAAAAAGACAAAUUCCAAAAGAACAUAUUUACAUAUGAAAGUAUACUUGGAUAAAUCAUCUACUACAUAUAUAUAAUAUCUGAAUUUUUUUAUUGAUAAAAUAAGAGCAGAUUCCUAUAUAUCACAAUUAUUUUUAUAAAAAAAAAUAUCAAAACUUGAGUGUUCAGAACAGGAAGAAGGUAAUCUACUAAGUUUCCUAAAUUGACAACUAUCACAAAAAUGUUUAUGUUUUACGGUUCCUAUAACAUCAUUUAAACCUUUAUUUUGCAAUACUUUUAGAGUGGAAAAUUGAGGAUGUCCUAUGCGAUGAUGCCAAAUGUCUGUUGAUCCUUAUCUGAAUUAAUGAGAGAAGUAGAGCUCAGGCAUGUUGAGAAGAAUAUAAAAUCCUUGCACCUCCCUAUGAUCACGUGUUGUCUUGUCUGUCAUUUCUAACAUAUGGUUGGAGGCUCCUGUGGCUGAUGUCUAUUAUGUUUCAAUGAUAGUAUUGUCCAAAGUGAGAGCUGUAAGAGCUUAUGGUAUGUCUUCAUAUUAAGUUGAUUAUUUUGGUACUUAGCAAAAUAUCUUUUCAAUAUAUCCUACUUAACCACAAUACCGACAAGUUUCUUCUCAAUAUAAUUCUUGGUAUGUAGGUGUCAUGUUGUUCAUCAGGUGGGGGAAGGAAUUUUUGUUAGGGGCCUAGAGUAAGUUUGGAAGAGUAUGUAUGAUUUCUAUCUUUAGGUUGUUGUACACAGAAGACUCUCCUAGUAGAUAUGAACUUAUGUUUGUUCCUAUAAUUUCUUAAAGGGAACUAUUGUGUACGUUGUAGUUUUUGUCCGUAAACGCUUGUUAUAGGGUGAAUGAGUUUGAGUUAUUCUUAUGAUUGGUAAACCAAUUAUGUCUUUGAUCAAGACUUUGUAGUUGUGACACUGACUCGGAAUAUGAAGGCCUUGGUGGUUUCAGCAUAGUGGUAGUGAAAGUUUUAUAUCGAGAGCCAAGACUAGUGAGGAGGUAAAAACUUUUUUUUAAUUUAAGACAAGAUUCUUAAUAGCUGCAAAAUUAUCACAUAAACCUUUGAAGGUACAAAUAUGUUCUCUAAUGGUUCUGCCAUCUUUUUUGCGAAGAUAUGUAACUCGUUGUUUAAGAGUGAAUUCAUGUUCUUGUGAAUCAUGUGCAUAUUCAUUCUUUGGACUAUUCUAGAUAGCAUAGGAUGUAUCUAAACCCAUAGCAAGGCUGGGUGUUUCUUUUAAAAGCAACCCAAUUAUCCAUCCAAGAAGAAGGCAAUCUGCCUUUUGCUAGACAACAUAUUCUUCAGUUAGUUUUGAUGCAAAGAUGUCUAAAUUUGUGCUGUUAUUUGAGUCUGGUGUGAUGUUCUUAAUGGGGGUUGGGUCUUCAUUAGUGAGGUGCCCAACUAGCUCUUGAUUUUUUGUAAGAGCCAAGGCUUGUUCUCUCUCCAUAAUAGAUAAUUUGUAGGGCUGAGUUUGAGGGUAAUAAAAUUACCAAUAUUGAGAGACGUUGUUGUCAUGUUGCAAGGUUUUGCUGAGAUUGUUGUAUGUUCACACAAGCUACGAUAUGAUAAAGAAAUUAUAUUUAAGAAGGAAUGUGCCAAACCGAGCAUGAUGUGCUUGUUUGAGACCAUAAAGAGCCAUUUGGGGCUUACAAACAUGUUAUGGAUAUUGAAGAUCUGUCACUCUCGAAGGUUCUAUGUCUUCUAAAAUUAAAAUAUGUAAGAAGGCUUUUUUUUUUAAAUCAAGAUGAUGUAUGGACCAUUUCUGAACUAAAUUUAUGGUUAUAACCAUAUAGAUAGUUCCAAUCCAUCAACUUGGUGAUAUAACCUUUGGUACCACUCGAGCUUUAAGACAAUCUAGUGAGCCAUCGAGUUUGAGUUUUGGUUUGAGAACCCAUUUAAAGCUAAUGACAUGCAUGGAAGUUGUGUGAGGAACAAUUUUUGAAGUUUGAUUUUUUUGGAGAGCCUCAAGUUCCUCUUCCAUGGCAGCCUUUCAGCUAGGCUGAGCUAAGACAAGCCGAAUAUUGUGAGGUUCAUGUGGAAUGGUUACUGAAGAUUUAAGGGAACUUAAAGCAUAUUUUGGAUUAGGCUUGACAAUACCUCUUUGUGAUCUAGUAACCAUGCUAUAUGGUGGAAGAGGUGAAUGUGGAGAAUGGAAACAUUGUGCCUAUUCUAGUGAAACGAAAUCAGACUGUGAAAAAGAUGGGUAUUGCUCUUGCAUUUUAAGCUCAAUUUAAGGUGGUGCUAGAUGGAUUCAAUCAUGGAUUUAGUUCUAUCAAACUGUCAAAUGUCAAUUUUGUCAUGUUGUUGAUUUAUUUCAGACUUAUUUCCAGGUUCUACUAGUUAUAGUUCAGUUACGAUUUCAGACCUAACAUGUCAACAUUCAAUUUUAUUUAGAGUAUUAACAGUAGCACAACCUACAACAUCAUGUGAAUCAAGAUAAAGUGUUGGAAUGGCUGGUGAGGAGCUUAAGCAUGGUGGACUAGGUGUUGUGGGUUGUAUGUCUGCAACAAAAUUAGAAUUAGUAUGAAACAACCAUGAAUCAAAUAUGUUAACGACAUGUGAUGUAGAAGACAUAGUGUUACAAUUCUGAUAUUUUUUUAAAGGGAAAGAAUGACUCAUCAAAGACUACAUGACGAUAAAUAAAUAUUAUUUUACUGGAAGGAUGAAAAUAUUUGUAUACUUUAUGUUUAUGAUUGUAUCCUACAAAGAUGUAAAUGACUGCUUUUGGAUCAAAUUUGUGUUGUUUUGUAUACCAGGUGUAAGGGAAGCAUUUAAACUCGAAGACUCCAAGAGAAAAAUAAUCAGGAUGAGUAACAUGCGGUGUAAAAUAUGGAGAUUCCAAAUUAAGAGUAGACGAAGGCAAUCUAUUUAUAAGGUAAACAACAAUAGUUAAUGCUUUAACCCAUAAACACUAGUUAUUCUUAAAGGGAACUAUUGAGUACAUUGUAGUUUUUGUCCAUAAACACUAGUUAUGGGGUGAAUAAGUUUGAGUUAUUUGUAUGAUUGGUAAACCAAUUGUGUCUUUGAUCAAGACUUUGUAGUUGUGAGAUUGACUCAGAAAAUGAAGGCCUUGGUAGUUUUAGCAUGGUGGUAAUGAAAGUUUUAUAUUAAGGGCCAAUAAGACUAGUAAGGAGGCAAAAACUUUCUUUUUUUUAUUUAAGACAAGUUUCUUAAUAGCGGCAAAAUUUUCACAUAAACCUUUGAAGGUAUACAUGUGUUCUCUAAUGGUUCUGUCAUUUUUAUUUUUUUUUGCGAAGAUAUAUAACUCGUUGUCUGAGAGUAAAUUAAUGUUCUUGUGAAUCUUCUGCAUAUUCAUUCUUGAGAGUAUUAUAGAUAGCAUAGGAUGUCUCUAAACCCAUAGCAAGGCGGGGUGUUUCUUUUAAAAGCAUCCCAAUUAUCCAUCCACGAAGAACACAAUCUGCCUUUUGCUAGACAACGUAUUCUUCUGUUAGUUUUGGUGCAAAGAUGUCUGAAUCUGUAGUGUUAUUUGAGUCUAGUGUAGUGUACUUAAUGGGGGUUGGAUCUUCAUUAGUGAGGUGCCAACUAGCUCUUGACUUUUUGCAAGAGCCAAGGCUUGUUCUCUCUCCAUGAUAGAUAAUUUGUAGGGCUGAGUUUGAGGGUAAUAAAAUUACCAAUAUUGAGAGACGUUGUUGUCAUGUUGCAAGGUUUUGCUGAGAUUGUUGUAUGUUCACACAAGCUCCGAUAUGAUAAAGAAAAAUUGAAAGAAAAAGAUGUUUGAUAAGAAGAUUAGUUUCUUUAUUGAAGGAGACAUGAAUACAUAACAGUACUUUUACAGUGCUUGAGUAGUUGGUAUUUAAGAUAGCAAUAAAAUAUCAAUUUGAAUAGAAUCUGUGUAAAUAAAAUCUCUGGAAUGUGAUCUGUUACUUUGACUGAUAACAUUAACUAACAUGAUUUGAGCUGAUUUGUUCUACGUACAAACACCAUUGCACCAAAUGAUAACAUGAAGAGCUAAUGAUGAAAGCAUAAAAUAUGCUGAUAUUGAGGGACUGCCUUGAGUUCAAUCAAGGUGAAAUUGAAAUAAGAAGUAAUUUUGAAGGUCAAUUUGAUAGAAAUUGCAUACAUUGAAAGUUCAAGGAUUGAAUAGAAAAUGGUGCUAAUGUGGAAGGACUGAUUUGGUUUCAAUCAGGGGUCAAAUCAAAGAGAAAACCAUGAUUAAGGAUGAAUUUGACUUAAAUUUAAAUAAUUAGAAGAACAAGGACUAAAUUGAAAGUUGAGAAAAAAAUCUUAAAUGAAAUAGUGUGUUUUUGCUAAAUGACAUCGUUAUUUUAGGCUGUCAAAGAAUCAUCUCAACCCAAUAACUUAAGUUGUUAAGUGAGGUCCCAGGAUAUGAUUUAUAUUAUUUUCUAACACACUCCCUCAAGUGAAAGCCCUUUGGGUUUAAAACUUGUACAGGUCCAUAUUACCUUGUAUUUAAUUUUUAUCAAAUAAAUAAGGAUAGUAAAAUUCAAACUCGUGACCGUUGGUUUGCAUGGUAAGAAUGACAUUAUUGGCUUUCAUUUUCAUCUGUAGGGUGGCACAACCUUCAACCAUUUGUUCUUUGUUUUACAUGGAAAUUAUUGAGAAAAGAAACUACCCAGCUGCUCUACUACAUUCAUGCAUCAUUUUUAUAUUAAUACUUGCUCCAUUCUUCACGUGCAAAUGAAUAAAACUGGUGCCAAAUGGGCUAACUCAAGCAUUAUUGAGCAAAUCAUUCAACAAAGGUGGAUGUUCAAGAUUGUUCUAAGAGGAUAAAAAAAAUAGAUUUGUUCCACUUAGAAAGGUUUUGGAACCUUCCCUAUGCCAAGAAAUACUAGGAUCAUUAUGGCCCACCAAGAAACUUGCUUGGUGGGACAAAUUAACGAACAAGGACUUGUGAAUUUUGAUGUUGUUGUUUAUUGUAACUAGUGAUUAUCUUGUUAUAAUUGUACCUUUUGAGCAUGUGAGUAUUUACGGGAAGAAUAUGCCACAGCUGCCUAUGGAGACCACUUUUUCUUGAUUGCAUAGCCAUAUUCGGAAAAAAGACAAAUUCCAAAAGAACUCAUUUGAUUUGUAUUUUUUUUUUGUUGGUAUGUUAAUUAGUUGUUGAACAUAUUUACAUAUGAAAGUAGGAAUGUUGUUCUAAUUUUUUACGUUAUUUUAAUUUCAACUCAUUUUCACAGCAUAGAGAGCUUUGACCAUCUUGAAGUGAGUUUAAUGUCGUUGGGACUCCUUCAUCGGUCAACUUAUCUUCACUAACAUAGGCUGAUUUGUGAGAGUGUUCAUCCUUGUCACUCCAAUUGUUUCGGUCUCCUUGUCACUCCAGUUACUCCCACAAAUCAUGCUAGGUUGGCGGGGUUCUGCUAUUGUUAAUAUGUGCAUUCGCCCAUCAUUCUACUGGUAAUUUUUUUCGAAGAAUGUUUUUCAAGAUUUUUACUUUCUUAGAGGAUAGGAGUUUUUCCCCAGAUAGGGUAGAAAACUAUUGAGAAAGAAAAAGGAAGAAUUUGCUUCUUUUAUUAUUUUGCUCCAUGUAAAUUCAUAACCAAACUUUCUCAACGGAAUCUUUGUGAUUAAUGGAUAACAAAAAAGACAACAAACACCAUUGCACCAAAUGAUACAUUCCAUGCUAGAAAAUACAAUCACAUUUCUGGGCUUUCAAAAGACAAUCCAAGCAUGCUAAGACAAGGUUUUUCAGGACCUUCUUACUAUGCAAAUUUAAAAGCAGCUACCACAAUACCAAGCUUUGACCUAUGAUCAUGGAGUCAUGUCUUGAUCCUUUUUUGGAACCCAAAUAAGAGUAUCAGUAGCCAGAAAGUGACAAACAGCCGGUCCUGGUUUAAUUUUGAGAACUUCAAAGGCCAUAUGGUCAGGACUCCAAGCUGAUGUGUUCAGGUGGCAUACGGUUACCGCUUUCACUUCUGCGCCAUCAGCAGCGAUUAAUGGAACCACAUAAACCUCUGUGCCUUCGAUUACAUGGCAAUAAUGUACUGCA